RNAcentral lists this long non-coding RNA (44516 nucleotides) under Hordeum vulgare. RNAcentral's name for it is "long non-coding RNA (HVUL_LNC017817)". The stretch from base 31328 to 31451 matches the Rfam family "MIR1120/MIR1122 microRNA precursor family". The record is from RNAcentral. Lineage: Eukaryota; Viridiplantae; Streptophyta; Magnoliopsida; Poales; Poaceae.
AGACAAGGGUACAAUUCAAGAUUAAUAUAGGCAACCUUCAUAGUUUAUUACGAUUUAUGCCUUGUAAAAGUAUGUGUAUAUAUACGCAAACAUAAAUCACACAAUGCAUGCAAUCCACCUUGUCUGGUUUCUGAGCUAUGCACACAUACAUAACCUUAGCAAAUUCCUGGUUGUCACGAACUAGGCAAGCAUAUACAGCAGAUUAUAUGAUACAAGAUGAAAGCAACCGCAACUAAAGUACAAGCAACUACAAAGACCGACUGCUAGAAGGAAACAAGCAACUACAAAGACCAAUUGAUAGAAGUUUCCUGAAGCUGAAACAUCCAUCUACAAAUACUUGGAGGCUCUAAUCAAAAUGCAAAGAGGGAGGAAAAACAAAGGAAAGAACAGAGGAAACUAGUGGCAUGUAGUCUGAACAUCCAUCCAACCAUCUAUCUGCAAUACAAGGAGGAGGUGGAUCCCAUGGCCGCCCAACCCAGCUCGUCGCCCCGCUGCCCAGUCGUGCUUGCCCGCAUGGCACGCCCACGCCCGUGGCUGGCCUCACCCGCGUCGCCGCCCAGCUGUGUGCCUCGCCCGUGCCGCCGCCCAACCGCGUACGCUCACCUAGCCGCCGCUGUCGCUCGCGCCCGUCCUUGGCUUCGCCGGGCAGCCGCCCAGCCGCGCUCCUCCACUUGGACGACGCCUUCGCCCGUGCUGACAGACACCCUCACCAGCGCCCGCUGCUGCCUUCGCCCUAGAUGGUGCACAGCCACUCUGGCCCGCGGUGGACAUCGCCCUCGCCCGCCGCGUGAGCUGUCUCGUCCGUGAUGCCGCCCAGCUGCGCUCGCCCACGUUGUUCGCCCCCUCCUGUGACGGGAGUCAAAGGCCGGAGGGUGGUGCAGUGGUGCCUUGCUCGCCGGAGGUGGAGACGAAUGGAGAGGGCGGUGGUGGCAUCAUGGUGGGGUGGGGGAGACAAGAGAUGGAUCCAGAUCAAGAUCGUGGAUGGCGUGCUGAUAGAGACGUGAAGUUGGGUAGGGAUGGAGAUGUGGGACGUGAGUGUGGUGGGUGCGGUAAAAUCAAUGGUGGCGAUGCUGCCAUGUCAUCGAUCCGUGAGGAAGGCCCCGUGGUGUUUUUUUUUGCCGUCAUCAUUUUAUUUUCCAGACGGCAAAAUAUAUGUUUUUUUUUACAAACGGCAAAAUAUGUCUUUGCCGUCAUCAAUUUUUUAUAGACGGCAAAAUUCCUAUAGUGGGGGCGGUCACACGUAAAGGUGGGCCGUGUGUGAUGUCGGAUGUACGUACUAGAUCUUGCCACAUCAUCGAUCCGUGAGAUCGAUCCGUGUGAUGUGUUUCUUUUUUGCCGUCAACAAUUUUUAUUACAGACGGCAAAAUGUGUCUUUGCCGUCAGCAUUAAUUUUUAUAGACGGCAAAAUGCGUCUUUGCCGUCAUCAGUUUUUUUUACAGUCGGCAAAAUAUAUCUUUACCGUCAACCGUUUUUAUUAUAGACGGCAAAAUAUAUCUACGUCGUCAGUCAUUCUUUGCCGUGAGCAGCUGACGGCAAAAGUGAUAUUUGCCGUCAUCCAUGAUGAAAAGCUGACGGCAAAGAUCUCCACAGAAGGCAAAUUAACUGAUUCCCGUAGUGAUAUGUGUGGUUACCUAAUGUUGUUCGGAGUCCUGGAUGAGAUCACGAACGUCACGAGGGUUUACGGAAUGGUUCGGAUUCGAAGAUUGAUAUAUAGGAUGGUUUUAUUUGGUCACCAAAAAGUUUCAGGCAUUACCGGCAGUGUACCGGGAGUGACGAAUGGGUUCCGGGUAUUCACCGGGAGGGGCCCACCCACCCGGGAGUGAGCCCAGUGACCCUAGGGUGGCGCACCAACCCUUAGUGGGCUGGUGAGGCCAGCCCAAUAGGGCCAUGGCGCCACAAGUGGAAAAACACCAAAGGAAAGAAAAAAAGGAAAGAGGGAGGUGGGAAGGAAGGAGUGGACUCCUUCCCCCAAACCGAAUUGGGGUGGGAGUCCACCUCCUCCCUUCGGCCGGCGCACCUUGGGGCUCCUUGAGCCUCAAGGCUAUCCCCUUCCCUCCUCCUAUAUAUACUGGUGGUUUUAGGGCUUUUGAGACACAACUUUUGCCACGUGCAACUCAAACCUAUUCCACGUAGUUUUACCUCUAGAUCGGAUUUCUACGGAGCUCGGGCGGAGCCCUACAGGAGUAGAUCAUCACCACCACCGAAGCGUCGUCACGCUGCCGGAGAACUCAUCUACUUCUCCGUCUCUCUUGCUGGAUCAAGAAGGUCGAGAUCGUCAUUGAGUUGUACCUGUGCUGAACGCGGAGGUGUCGUCCGUUCGGUGCUAGAUCGGAAUGGAUCGUGGGAUGACGAUGAUUUGAAUCAUGAAGUUGUACCACUACAUCAACCGCAUUUCUUAAACGCUUCCCGCUUAGCGGUCUACAAGGGUACGUAGAUCUAAUCUCCUCUCGUAGAUGGACAUCACCAUGAUAGGUCUUCGUGUGUGUAGGAAAUUUUUUGUUUCCCAUGCAACAUUCCCCAACAUAUCAGCCAUCGAAGUCCUCGGAUAACCAAGCUGGAAUAGCUUUGGAGAUCAAUGUGGCAUGCAGCUGGUAUCUCAAUACCAAAGUUGCGCCUCAUAUUGGUCCUAUCGUUCAUUAUGUCAGCGCUAGUGAAACGUAUGCCGCUGCGAAGGAAGUCCAUGAGUUCUGGACAUUGUUUGUCACUACUGCAACAUCAACAAAUUAAAAUGAAACAAAAUUUACAUACUGCUGCAACAAGGAAAAAUGUUUCAAUACAACUAAAGAGAAAUUUAUCUUAACGAUUCAAAUGGAACAUAUUGCUAUUCUAUGCAAUUUUCAUAUCCUAUGAAUUGAUCUUUAUAGGAUUCCAAUAUUCUAACAUAUUGCUAUCCGAUGCAAUUUUCAUAUCUGAUGAAUUGAUUAAGAAACCCUCAACUAACUAUCCAGUGGAACGUAUAAAGAAACUGCAUAUUGCUAUCCAAUGGAACCUAGAGAGAUGAGUAUAUGCAAUUUUCAUAAACUUUGGAUCAAACAAAGCCUCAAAACUUACCAAUGAAAAAUUGUUUCGCUACAACUAAAGAUAAAUUAAUCUUCAUAGGAUUCUAAUAUUGUAACAUAUUGCUAUCCUAUGCAAUUUUCAUAUCCUAUGAAUUGAUCAAGAAACCCUCAAUUAACUAUAUAUCCAAUGGAACAUAUAUAGAAACUGCAUAUUGCUAUCCAAUGGAACCUAGGGAGAUGAAUAUAUCCAAUUUUCAUAACCUUGGAUCAAAGAAAGCCUAUGUUUGUAAUAUAUCCAAUGCAACCUAGGGAGAUCAAUAUAUGCUAUCCAAUGGAACCUAGGGAGAUCAAUAUAUCCAAUGUUGUAACACAUAUUGCUAUCCUAUGCAAUUUUCAUAUUGCUAUCAAAUGGAACAUAUAAAGAAACUCCAUAUUGCUAUCAAAUGGAACCUAGAGAAGAUCAAUACAUUCAAUUUUCAUAACCUUGGAUCAAAGAAAGACACAAAACUUACCUCGCCCAUUGGAAGAUCAAGACAUGUUGUUUGAAACACAGCUGGAUGACGGCAACACCUUGAUGGUUGGGUGUGAACUCCAGAUCAAGCCCCAAGAACGCCUCAUGCUCCGGCGCGGCGUCAACCCACUCCCGGAACCGUGACAAAAAAUUUGGCACCACCCUGCUCUCGUUUGUGUACCCGACCGUGAGCUAGCUCGUGCCAUGUGCGAGCACCUCUCCAGUUAGAUAUGUCAUGGUGGAAGAAGAAUGGAAGAAGAGAGGAAGAAGAAGAACAGAGGAGAGGAGAAGAACAGAGAAUGGUGAUAGACUCUACUUCAGUUGCAGUUUUCAUCGCUGGAAACGAAGCAGGAGGGCGAACCGUUUGGACCAUUAGUCCUGGGUUGGACGACAAACCGACACUAAAGGGGUGAUUCGAAGGGCCGCCAUCCCGAUUUGAUCCACCAACCGGGACUAAAGGAGGAUACGAACGGUUGUACGAACGCCCGCCACCACACCUUAGUCCCGGUUUGAUCCACCAACCGGGACUAAAGGGGAUACGAACGGUUGCCGACCUAUUAGUCCCGGUUCUUGACUAGAACCGAGACAAAAGGGGUGAGACAAACCGGGACCAAUGUCCCACAAUGCCCGGGCGGCGCCCUGGCCUCACGAACUGGGACCAAUGUCACCAUAGGUCCCGGUUUGUAUGUGAACCGGGACUAAUAGGAUUUCAUGACCUGGACCAAAGCCCUCUUUUCUACUAGUGUGUAUGGAAUGAUGCUCUUCUUUUAUGGCAUCUCCAACCCUGGCCCACAAGCCAGACGCAUCCAUACAUGGACAGGGAGCCAGCCCGUGAAUAAAGAUGCGGGAGGCAGCCAUCCAAAGCUAUCCAUAUAGGUUUCAAAUAGGUUUUCACUAAUUGAGACAAAUUCCAUCAAACACGAUGGAAUUCAUCAAAGUUCGGAUAGAAAAUAACACAAAUCAUCCAUACAAAGCAAUAUAUCAUGCAACCGAGUCUAGUGCGACAAUAGUUCAAAUUUCACGAGACUGACUCGAUGUUUACCAAGUUUUUGACGGAUGGAUCAUGUUGUCCCACACAUACCCCCUCCCCUCCCUAAACUUCAUCCAACAAUGUGUAUGCAUGAAGGUCUGUCCCCUAUCCUGUGGUGCAUCACGGUAACACGUACAAGCUACACAACCUAUAGAGCAACAUUGAAUGAAUGAAUGAAUCAGUCAACAAGUUCACCAAGAAGAACCAAAACUUACUAUCUCCAUGGUAGCCGCGUGCAAUGGCCGCAUUCCCUCUAACCCAUCAAUCACGCCACAAAAUUUUGUGAUAAAGUUCUCGAUGGUGUACCAUUGAUACACUAAUGACUUCACAUUGUGUUCAAGAAUGACGUGCAUACCGUAGGUGCCUUCAUGCAUAAAAUUAACCAUGCACGCGCUGCCAAAAGAGCCUCCUUCUGCUCUUGCCUACGGAGUCUGUAGAUAUAGCCAAUCAUCAUCAAUCGUCGAGUACAUCGUCAUCGUUCUUACUUUAAAAGAACGACAUGAAGUUAGGAAACACGCUCAAUGAUAUUUGACUAAACACCUGAUAGGCGUGGUGUUCGCCAUGAAUGUCGUCAACACGAGGACGGAGGGUACCUAGCUAGGAAUGGAUCCUGGGUGGACGUCGCCAUAGUACAAGGCAAGCAGGCAUGUGGACGGCGGAUGCGGACAUCCGUCAAUGCAUGGAUGACAGCCGAAGAGGUCCAACGAUGGUGAUGGAGGACGCGGAUUGAAAGCAAGGGGAAGCAUGGGCGGAGAGGUAGAGAAUGAGAUCGAAAGGGAUACUUGAGUGGACCGGGGGUGUCGGAGUCCUACGUGACGACAGUCCAGACUCCCGCAACCCCUCUGCUGGUUUGCUUCCGGACCAGUCGGUAAAUCGAUAUAUGUCCGCGUUUCAUGACAAAAUACGUUCGAACCAUACGCCCCAUACAUGUUCAAAUAUGUUUAAAGAUGCCUUUGGCCCUGUACCGUUGCAUUGGCAUCGAAGCCAUACGAUCUCUGCUGUGACGUGACAUUGGAAUUGGCACGAAGCUCAGCUUCAGCACUAUUUGUUUCUUGGAAAAACAUGUAAUGAGAGAAGUGCCAAGAACGAGACAAUAACCGGUGACAGAGCGACGAUCAACAGGAUCACUCGCCCAAGUUGAGUCAGAAUAAGCAUGAAGCUGAAGUUGAUUAGAGCUUUCACAUAGUGGGCGCACCCUUCUGUUUCUGCUGCGUGGAUGGGCGCCACAUGCACCCACAAAAAGAACGGAGAAUCAAACGAGAGAACAGAGGUAGAGAAGCGGCAGGCCUUUGUGUUUGUGGCACCGUGCUCGCUCCAGCGUACACUGUCGUGUUUCCAGUAUGGCCAGCCGUUGGAAAGUCUUCUGUCGUUGCUUCCUCCGCGAGGAAGUCCUCUGUCGUCUGUUUCCGCCACAGUCUGAGCCACAGCUGCUUUCUUUUCUUUCCCUUCUCCCGCACCAGGGACACCAGCAGCGUAUUGGAUCAAAAGUACCAAAAUGCAACGCAGUGAUUCUAUGUUUUCGGGACCAUGCGCACUCAGCGGCGAGCCUCCGAUGCCCGCUGUUGUGUGACAUCGGCCCGUUUCCGGUCGGCGCGGACGGGCCUCGGGUCGUGAGGCCGUGGUGGCCGUGGUGUCCUGGCCUUUGGGUAGAGAGAAAACAGCUUUUGUAAGGUUUUCUGCUUCUCUGCAAGACUGAAACCAAAGGCAGUUCUGUUCGUCCAAAAAGGAAAUAGACCAACCUCUCUGCAAGACUGCACCACGCUUUCUUUUUGCUCUCACCAACUCGACUCAUGCGUUUGGAGGCAGAGAAAAGGGGACCGGGGACUUCCGGAGAGAAGAUGCGCGAGAAAAAGCAUUGGGUGGGUGAGAAUUAGAGCGCGAUUGCUUCUUGCGAUUUUAACUACGUGGAACAAUGAGGCAGAGCGCGAUUGUGUGACGAAUGUAUGCCAGACAAUGGUUAUUUACCCUAACCACUCUAACAUGGUUAUCCGUGGCAAUUUACUGACAUUUUUUAGUCAAUAAUCCUAGACCUACGGGCCCUUUACAGGGUCAUUACGGACCCUUCCUAAUUAAUCUCACCCUCCCUGAUUUUCCAUUGGGGUGGCCCGCCUCAUUCUCCUUUUCUCCAAUCAUCUGUUGCCAUGUCAUCAUGUAAACAAAAUCAGUCCGUAAUUGACUGUAUGUGUAGCAUUACUGUUUUUUAGUAUAUCAUAUCUUACUUGCGACCACCAUUUAUAAUGCCAGUUCAUAAUUUUUUGGCAUGGGGGGUGGAAAGCUUUCCGUGCUUGCUAUAUCUUAUCUUUAAAAUUCCCUCUUAUGCCUGUAAUAACUGAUUUGUAACAGGGAUAGACUAUAUAGACCCUUGUAAUGUUGAUGUGGUUGUUACUCUGUUCCUAUCGAGAGCUACCAUUGUUUGAUCGGGUUAUGCUUGCCUUGGCUUUUUAAUAAAAGUUGAGGCAGGGGAGAGACCCCUUUCAUUUAAAAAAGUUUAUUGAAAUAUGAUAUUGGCCACUAAUAAAAUAUUAAUCAAAUGUAGGAGAGGGGGAUAUGAAAGAUGAAAUUUGAGGUGAUGUGGGAAAUACUAUUUCUAAUUCUAAGGUGACUGAGAAAUAACUAUUUCUAUUUCAGCAUUUCUAUAUCACCACUAAAAACUAUAUUAUCUGAACAAGAUAUUCAUAGAAGUAUAUAAAAUGGUGGAGCAGGAGUAUCUUCGGGUUAAGAUUGCUAGAAUGGUGGAACUGGAGUUUCUUCAGGAUAAGAUUGCUAGAAUGGUGGAACGGAUUUUUUUCCACUAUGAUCUUAUACUAGAAGUGUUUGACGUAAUUUGCUGCGCGUUGGUGUUGCUGGGUUUUUAUUAGAAAAUUUACUCCCUUUGCAUCCAAAUAUGAGGUGUAUUACGUUUUUGAAAAGUCAAAGCACAUUAAAUUUGAUCAAAUUUGUGGAGAAAUAUAUCAGUAUCCGUAAUAUAAGAUUGGUAUCAAUAGAUUCAUCAUGAAACAAAAAUUCAAAUUUUAUUUAUUUAGUAGUGUGGAUGUCACUAUUUUUGGAUAUGAACUUGGUCAAAGUUAAAGAAAUUUGAAUUCUCAAAGAACAAUACACUUUAUUUCGGAAUCGAGGGAGUAUUUGGUUUCACGACUCUUAGAGAUGAUCGAGUGUGUCUUUAUUUUUAUUUAUAAUUCAGUCUGUUUGGGGCCUUUCGUGUCUCGAUUCUAUGUUAUCUGCUAAUCAGCCCAUACUUGCAUAGGAGAAAUUUUCUGCAUUGCUGUGUGCAUGUAAUGUAUUUGUGCUACAAUGUCACGUAUUGAUACUUCUUUUUUUUCUAAGUGUGAGAGGAUGAGCGAGGUUGAUAUGUUUUUAUAGGUCGUUUGCUGCCGACUAAUUUUAAAAAGUAUUGAUCCGGUCAAAAUCAUGAACGAAAUCCUGAAUCACACAAUUGAAUAGAAAAGCUCCGAAAUUAAGGAGCGUGCUAGAUUAAAACAAUUAAAUGAGAGCUCAUAUACCAUAUUUCAAUCCCGUGAAAUUGUCUAGCCAAAAGAUGAAUGUAUAUCUUGUGUUUAAUUUUUCUAAAUUAUAUCAAUUAAAUGAAAUGGUGUAUCAAUUCCACACAUUGCAUACAGUAAUAAAUAAACCAGCACAAUUAUUUCUAAUAUUCUACAUAUAACAAGCAUUUCUUCAUCCUAAAGUGAAAGAAUUUACCCUUCUAUCCAAAUCCAAUUUGUGCCAAUAAAAUAAAUCCAAUUUAUCGUUCUAUCCAGAUCAUGAAAUGAAAUCUCAAUUGGAUGAGAGAGCUCCAAAAUUAGUGAGCAUAGUGAAUUUACAUAGGAGCAUAGUGAAUUAAAAGAAUGAAUGAGAAUGUUUCAUGAUACAUUGUUGGCCCAGUCAAAAUCGGAUGAUCCAAUUUAAAAUUGGAGACCUCGAUUUAUUGUGAGGCAGAAAUUAGGGAGCAUAGUGCAUUUACUAGAAGGGUUGGGCAUGCUUUGUUGCGCUUUGGUGUUGUUGGGUUUCUUAAAAAAAAUAUUCGCACUGUUUCAAAAUAUAAGGCGUCUUAUUUUUUGGAGAGGCACUCUUAAGUUUGAUCAAAUUUUUAGAGUAAUAUAUUAAAAUUCAUAAUAUCAAAUUGGAUUCAUCAAGAAAUUAAUUUUCAUUUUUUUGUUGAAUAUUUUGGAUAUCGAUUUUUUUGGUGUGAACUUGAUCAAAGUUAAAAAAUUUGACUUCCCAAAAAAUAAUAACCUUUAUAUAUUGGAACAGGUGGAAUAUUUAGUUUCCCGGGUGGGGAGAUGAUGGAGUGUGUUAUAUUUUUAUUUAUAAUGUGGUGAUUUAAUGGGCCUUUUGUGAUGUGGUUCUAUAUUAUCCGCUAACCAACGUAUAUGUAGGGAUUGAUAUGUUUUUUACAGGCCGAUUGAUGUUGAUUGAUUUGAAAAAUCAUUUGGUCGAUCAAAAUUGUAAUCCAAAUCUAAAAUUGAAUAAAUCAAUUGAAUGAAAAAACUUCAAAAUGGGAACAUAUGGAGUUAAAUAAUUGAAUGCGAGAAUAGGUGAGAAAUUUUUGACCCGGUAAAAUCUGACCGAAUUCUAAAUUGAAGACCUCAAAGAAUUAGGAGGCCUUCAAAAUUUGGAAGCAUAGUGUACAGUAUAAAAGAAUUGAAUGAGAUAGAUUAUGAGAAAUUUUUGACCCGGUCAAAAUCGGUUGACCCAUUCCCAACUGGAUACUUCAAUUGAGUGUGACCCCUUUAAAACAAGGGAACUUAGUGUUAUGGAGGAUAGAUUAGAAGAUUGUAACCUUGUUAGUAUAGAAUAAAACUCCUUGAUUAUCUGUAAAAAAUGGAUUUAGAAAAACAAGAAUCAGUUUGAUGAAAAUACCUAGACCAUAUAGCUACACAUAAUGGCUUUGUAAUAAACUUUCAAAAUGAGAACUACCAUUACUCCUCAACAAAAAACAUGGGAAAUCGUUGGGUUUACACCCUAGUUUGAGACUAUAAAUGUUAAUUCAUGGUAAUUUAUGGCCAUUUUUUAGUAGAUCAAAUCUUACUUGCAAGUACCUAUUAUAAUGUCGAUUAAUAGUUUGGAUGCAAGUUUCAAUGCUAUAUAAAUGCUUACUUGUGUUGAUAUACAAUAAAAUAUUUAACAAAUAUAGGAGAGCGACAUAUGUAAGGUGAAAUUUUAGGUUAUGAGAGAAAUUAAUCUUUCUAGAGUGAAUGACAAAUAACUAAUUCUAUUUCUUAAUCACCACUAAUAACUGUUUGAUGUAAAAAGGAGAUGCCUACUAGUAUGGAAUGGAAUUGUAUAAAAAAGAACCAAAUUCUUGAAAAUACCUUGACUGUAUGACUACAAAUAUCAAAUUGGAAAUAUAAUAUUUUAAUUGAUUGAGCUACCAUUACUCUUGAAUAAAUGUAAGGGUUUAAUGUUUCAAAAUUAGGGAUAUUUCUUGAGUUGCUCUUUGCAAUACGUCAUGCACUAACUUUAGUUUUCUCAACAUUUUUUGGAACUGGAUUUGUGGCGUGUUAUCACCUCUUGCAAAAGCUUUCACAAAACCAUUAGUGCAAGUAGGUGAUUAACAAAAUGAUUAACGAACGAAACAAUAGUAGGAGAUGCACACACUAAUUUUGCACGUACUCAUAUAUUCGCUAUGUUGGUGUACGUUGAUUCGUAUGUUCAGAGGGAGUGGAAUCUUUAGGAAUUUUUCCAAUGUUGGUCAUUUGAUUCGUAGAUUUGACUCAUAUAUUUAUUUUGUACUCACUUUGUAAACUAAUAUAAGAGUGUUUAGAUUACUAAAGUAAUGUUCUAAAUUCUCUUAUAUUAGUUUACGGAGGGAGUACUACAUUGCUUAGGAAUUUCAACAGAAUCAAUUAUUUAUGUGAUGCAACCAAAUAAAUUGAAAUCGUACGCAAUCCAAAUGGAGAUGAAUUUGUAAUCCUAUGAUUUUCAAAUUCCAUGCUUUUAGAUUCCAUUUGUGUGUGUGACUGUUAAUCUAGCUACUUACCACUUGCUCACAUGACUUUGCGUCCGUCAUUGGUAACAUCAUCUCAGGUUAGCCCUGGGGCAAAAUUACGAGUGGACGGUACAAGUUCGCGCCCUCAAUUUGUACAGGAAGUUCUAGCGGCGGGUAGAAAUAUGAGCUCGCCACUAGUAUCUUUUUUGCCAAAUUUUUUGUAACAUUAGGUUUAUGGUGUUUAAUGUUUAGGGCUAUGGCUCAAUUGUUUUCACAUUAGAUAUACAUCAUUGGAAGUUCCAUGUAAAAAAUUUGGCACAUUUUAAGUUUAAUUUGUUAUUUCUAGGGUGUUUUAUGGGUCUCUAGGUAUUUAAUGGAGAUAAAUGCACUUAAUAACUUAGAUAUAGAUAGCAAACCCGAAAAAUGACAAUUUUUUAUGUGUCACAUGUAAUGGUGUACGUUGAGAGUGGAAAAUGAAUCAAGGCUAACCGAGAAAAGGCGGCCGCUUCACGUGCAUACAUGGUAUGUUCUUUCUUGAAAUCUAGUUUCUUACUCACAGAUAGUCCAAUUUGUAAAUUAUCUACAUGAAAACAUUUGAGAAACAUUUUCAUGUUUUUACCAUAAACUCUAGGGGUCAUAUCAUGACAUCAUGCAGUGUUUCAUGAUUUUCGUGCUUUGCUAGAUUUUUCGGAAUUAAUAUGACAGUAACCACCAUGUUGGUGCCUAAGUCUUAGACACAUGGUGUCCAGAACUCCUCUACAUUCCGUAAAUAAGACCACCAAUAAGAUUUGUAACCCUUUCCAUUGAUUUUUUUUGUAGACAAAAUUUGAAUCAUAUCUAUCAAAUGCUCGCAAAUGCAUUUAAGGGCUUAAAUAUAGCAAAUGGCCCCCAGAAAAUGCCGAAUUUUAACAUGAUACAUCUAGUUGUGUGUGUUGAGUGUGGAAAAAGAUUCACAACCACAGGCAAAGUGGUGAUCCUUGACACAUGCAAACAUGGCUCGUUCCGCUCAAAACCUAGUUUCCUUUUUAGAUGGUCUAGUUCAUAAGCAAUUUGCGUGAUAACUUUGGUAAAACAUUCUCCAAAUUUUCCCACAUGCUCUAUUGUACAUACCAUGACACGAAUAACAAUAAGUAUGAGGAUUUUUUAGGUUCGUUUAAUUAUCUAAGAUUUAAGAUGCCAAUAACCUACAUGUUAGUGGAGGAAUCUUGACACAUGGUCUAUUGGACAUGGCCCCUUUCUUGCCUGCAUUUUCUCGAAUGGUGGGGCGUGAGCCUCGUGGUAAUUUUUGGUUUACCAAUAAUAGAAAAAAAAUAGGUAAAAUUUUAUUUUUGCCCACUUUGCUUCUUUUUUGGCAGGCUUUUGCCCACUUUGAUUAUAUAUGCCACUGUAAAAUUGACAUUUCACUUUUGCCACUCUUAGAUUGCUCACAAUACAUCAUAAUUGUCAUUCCAUGGCAAAAACAAAAAAAUCGGAGUGAAAAUUAUGAUAUAUUGUAAAAAGUUGAGUGGCAUAAGUAAAAUGGUUUUUUUAUUUUGCCACGGAAUGGUAUUCGCGAUACAUUGUCAAAAGCUAAGAUUGGCAAAAGUGAGAUGUCAAAUUCAAGAGCGGCAUAAGAAAAGUGUGGAAAAGCUAGAGUGACAUAUUUUUUUCUCCAAAAAAAUGUAGAAGACACUACAAAAUACCCGCCACUGGUAACUAUUACUAGUGAUGGGUAUUGUGGCCUAUCCGCCAUUAUACUUGGGACGAGCCCGCAUUACCAAAAUAUUGUGUUCUAAUUGGUCGAUCUGAGCCUCUCACGGUUUACCCUAGUCUACUCCUCUUCCUUCUCCUUGCCAUCUCUUCUUCUCUUCUCAUUUCUUCCUCUUCUCUGCUCCUCCUUCUUCACCAAUGCCUACACCCUCGACCUCUGCCUUAUCGGUCAAGGGCUUCACGCUCUCGAGUAGGGAAGAACCCAUGUGUGUUGCGAGCGAUGGUGGUUGGCAGGAACAGAUCCGACACGCGAAAGGUGGAGGGAAGUGGGUCCUCCUAAAGCACUCCACGGAUCUCAAGCGCAUUGGGGUCCUCCUCCGCCAAUGGAUCCUCCUCGCAAUAGAUCAAGCUCAAGGGUGCAUCCACGGUCAGCAACUGUUGGAUUGGGCCGUGCACAGCACCAACAAUGACAUGGCUCCUUGUUAGUGUGUGUCUAAGGCUACUCCCAAUGUUCCACCUUGUACACGUGCUAAGGCUUCCACAUAGGCAAAAAAAUCUGAUGUGGCAAGCUAAUUAAUAGGAGAGAGAUGAGUAUGGUGACCCUAGGAAGAAACAAUGCUAAGCGCGUGAACCUAGAUAAAACAAUUAAAUGAAAGAAAUGCAACAAUGCAUGCACAACUUUGGUUGCAAAAGCAUUAAAUAAGGAGGCUUAGCUACAAUAAGCUAAGCACAUAUGCAUUGAGGACUUUAGUUGCAACACUAUUUAAUGUGCUUAGCACCUCAUCUUAGCACCAAUGCAUUAGAAGUGGCCUAAUGGCACUAAGCUCAUCAAUGCCAUUCAGUGCAAUGAUGAUGAGGCGUUGGUGCAACAUCUUCCCCUUGUGUUUUGGACAUUGUUGCCAGAAACAGUAAGUCACUGAUUUGUUUGCUAGUGCACACAAAGAGAAAAUAAUCCUUGGAGUAUCAAGAAGAUUUCUAUAACCUUUCGAGAAUUUUGUUGUAAACUUUGGUGAUUGUCUUCUACGAUGAAGAGAAGAUUAACAGUUUUCAAGGACUUCGAUUCCGAGAAGAUUGCGUGUACGAGAUAACCCCCAAAAAGGAUUGUUGACGUGAAGCAACUGGCACAUGAGGUAUCCGAGUUGAAAUGACUCCAGUCAUAAAGAGUGAAGAUGAACUCAAGGUGUAGCAUUUGUUUCAUCGUGUUAUUUUCUUGAGUCACAGGACCACCGUUCCGUUAAAAGGGGUAUAAGUAUUUUCAGACUUAUGUCUAUAGUGAUGCUUAGCCUUAACCUAUCUUAUGAGAGUUGAGAUAAAUCUCUUUGUGUUCUGAGACAUUUACUUGUCAGCGAGUGAUGAAGAUCUUCCUGGCUGCGGGAGAAAUGCUUCGAACCGAUGAGUCAACUUUACUUGUUCCUCAACUAAAGUUCCCAUGUGUGCUCAAAAUACCAUCGUUCGAAACGUGUUGGUUGGCCAUUUGCUAGAUUGCGUGUCCUAAAUGGUCAUUCCAUGUUGGGAACAAUGCGACUAUAUGUAGCCACCUCGCACAAACAUGAUUCAUUGGCGGCUCUGUUUGAGAUUUAGAGAAGAUUGAUUGAGCACACCUCUUUGAGAGAUACGAGUUUAAAAUCCAUUAAGAGAAAAUCAAGAGCCAAAACUUGGAUGGUGGAUGAUCAUCACAAUAGAUAUGAGUUGAGAGUUAUUGUGUGUAUUACUCUUGAGAGGUGCUAACUCUCUAGAUGGUUAGGUACAGGCUUGAGUGACAAAGGGUAAUUAUUUUCAUUAAGUCAAAGCCUUCAACAACCAAGAGUCAUUGUGGUUUGCCAAGCAAGUCCGUUUAAGGUUUGGAGAUCGCCGAGAAGAAUCUACCUCGAGUAAAGUUAACUGAACUCUCACUAGUAGGAAAAGGUCCAUUAGUCCCGAUUCUCCAAUCGAGACUAAACAAUCGUUACUAAAGCCCCAAACCUUUAGUCCCAGUUGGCAUACGAACCAGGCCUAACGGUGCUCCACGUGGCCACUUUGGGGCGCCACGGGGCGGGGACAUUUAGUCCCGGUUGGUGUCAUCAACCGGGACUAAAAGGCGGCCAUGCGUGAGCAGCUGCCAGACGUUGUGUUUUUCUUAAAGGGGGGGGGGGNNNNNNNNNNNNNNNNNNNNNNNNNNNNNNNNNNNNNNNNNNNNNNNNNNNNNNNNNNNNNNNNNNNNNNNNNNNNNNNNNNNNNNNNNNNNNNNNNNNNNNNNNNNNNNNNNNNNNNNNNNNGUUUUAUUAGGGGUUUCAUAUUGUGUUAGCUAGCUACUACAUAUAGAGAGAAGUGGACUCUCUUUCUCCAUGCUUGGUUGACGGUAGCUGCUACAUAUAUAGAGAACUCGACGCUAGCUAGUAAGCAAAUAAGGAACCAUUAAUUACACAACAUUGUCAUGAACAUAUAUAAAGAGAAGUGACCUCUCUUUCUCCGUGCUUGGUCAAACAACUCGAUGCUACUACAUAUAGUACACGAUCAUGCAAAUAUACAAUAUAUAACAUCUCGUGCUAUCCCUAACUAGCUAAUAUAUAUCUAUAGCUAGCAACAUCGAUAAGAAAAUCCUGAUGAUAUUCCCCUUCUCUGGGUAUGACAUGCUCAACAAAGAAUCCCGCCAAUUCCUUUUGAAUUGCUCGAAUGCGAUAAGUUGGUAGGAGUUCUUCCCGCUUGCGCUUGAUCUAAUUUAAAGAAGGGGGUCAACACACACACACAGAGACACACACACACACAUAUAACUCAACACAGUUGAUGGUUAUAAAAUAAAAAUAUGAAUAUUAUUUACGUACAUCAAGUUCUUUAAAAGAUAUGUCGUUCUUACAGGUCGUUUGGUGAAUUCACUUGCAAACAUAGUAUCCACAUAAAUUAGUUCCGGAUUCCUGCCUCAAGCAGUAAUUUACGAGAAUAGAGUUCAAACAAAAUAACAAUCAAGCAUGAUAAUGGUAUUGAAACUAUAAUGAAUGAGAGAUGCGCAGAACUAGCUAGUACUACUUACUUUGGAGAAGGAAAAUCACAGCUCCUUAUUCCAUUCACCUUUAGAGGUCUUGGUGAACUUUUUCCAAACCCUGCACGACAAAGAAAAUGAUUACUUGUUAUCAGGAAAUGAAAGAAAGUUGUCGAUAUGGUGCGAUAAUGAUUGAACUUACUUCUGGAGCAAGAGGGUCGGUUAUUUUUAAUUUUUUCUUCAAUUAAUUGUUUUCUUUUUCAACUAAAUUUAACCUCUCGGCAAGAAGAUCGAUUGGAAUUUUCGGUUCACAUACCUCCUAAAUAAAAACAUACAUGCCACGUUGGUCGACAUAAUUGUCAUAAACACUUAAUGAAACAAAUAGUUAUAAAAGGAAAUAUACCACGUCCUAAUCAUAGACCGGACGAGGACCGACGUGGGCGGAUACCAAAACCAUCACACUAUAUAAUAACAAACAAUAAUAAAAGCAAGAAAUCUAUAUAAGUAUCUAUCUAAAUCAUACAAGUAAGAUUUUGUUUCUUUUAGAAAGCAGAUAAGAACAAGAGGCUCACUACGUUGGUGUCGGCGACGAGAUCGGCGCGGGCGAUCGACGAGGGUGAGGACGGGGACGGGACGGUUAUUUCAUCGAACACCUCAUGUGCAUGCAUAGAACGGUGAACAGAGCAUGGCAUGCACAGCUCCCACACGGCCAAAAAACUGAAGAGAUGGAGGGCAGGGGUGAGGGUAUAUAUAUGCAUUUCUUUGGUCCCGGUUGGUGGCCACAACCGGGACAAAAGACUGACCUUUAGUCCCGGUUCCAACCACCAACCACGACUAAAGGUGUUGCGCGAGGAGCGGGGACCAUUGGUCCCGGUUCGUGUCUGGAACCGAGACUAAAGGGGUGAGAGGAACCGGGACCCUGGCCCGCCGGUGACAUGGCCUCACGAACCGAGACCGUUGCACCCAUUGGUCCUGGUUCGUAACAGAAUCGAGAUUAAAGUCUUAUCUCGCGUGGACCAAAGCUCUGAUUUCUACUAGUGUGUGAUUAACUUCACGUUCAGGAAAAUAGGACACGGAGAGGUUCACUCUUCUCUUCAAUCACAAGUGCCUUCAACCAGACCUAGCUCUUUUGGAGGAGAGUAAAUUGGUCAACCAAAUCAUUUGUCGCCGUUAAGUACCACCGGUUAUUUCUUAGUUUAAAUUUAUCUUCAAUAAUUCUUUCUCGACUGAGCUCUUUUUCCUGUAUUGUUCUUCGGUAUCAUUCAACUGUUUAUCCUUAAGGCAAUUCUAUUUGUGACUUCAUCAUGUUGUGCAUCAUAUUCAUGUUUGAUGUCAUUAAGGUUGUUUGUUUGUACGCUCGUCUGUUGUUCAUCUAGUGCUGCUUGGUUAUCCACCUAAGUCCGUGUCUACUGAACAUUUCGGCCAGUGAUGUGCAUGUUUUGUUUCAGUACUGCAUGUAUUGUUUCUCGUGUGCAAUCUCAUCAAUGCUGCUCAUCGUGUUUCCAUUUGUGUUCAUUAUCGUUGUUCUCAAAGUCAUGUGAUUUCAUUCUUGUAGGAUUGUUAUAUCUUUCGUUGAAGAUUUGGUUAAACUGUCUCACUCUGUCUAGUUUUUUUUUGUUCUCAGUCAUCACCGUUCCAGCUUAAGUUCAUGUUUUCCCUGUGUUGUACUGAGAGAUUUGAUGUUUCGAAAGAAAGUUUAAAUCUACCACUCACCCCUCUCCCUCUGAUCGAUAUUCUCUUGAUGCAGGCUAGGUCGGUUACGACAUGGACAUCCUCUUGAUGUGAACGAAAAAGUUUGUCUGAAUUUUUUUGUUGAAGACAAGCGAGCAAAGCUCAAAGAGGCCCGAAGAGUCUUGGUCAAGAAAGAGUCAAUAGGGGUCAUUGCAGUCUGCACUCUGCAGGGCAGGGAAGGAAAGCAGGAGACACCGCCGGCUAGCAGCAGCACCGACGCGCACCAUGCCUACCUCCUCCUCCGUCAACCCGGAACUUGGCGUCGUCACCGCAGCCAACCUCCUCCGCGCCCACGCCGCCGUGCCGUCGAGGGACACGGACGCCGCGGCCUUUGUCUCGUCCCUGCGCACCCAGGGCGAGGUCGAGGCGCUCUGCGAUAAGUACGGCGUACCCAAGGAGUUCACCGCGCGCCCCGCGGGCGACCUGCGCGCGAACUCGACGCCGCCGCCGGGGGCCAUCUGCGUGUACGCGCGCUCUCUGGAGGCCGGGAUGCGACUCCCGCUGCAGGGCUUCUUCAGCGACGUCCUCGCCCACUUCGGCAUCGCGCCGGCCCAGCUCACGCCCAACGGGUGGCGCGCCAUGGCGGGCUUCCUGGCGCUCUGCGACUACGCCGGCGUGCCGCCGUCGCUCGCGGUGUUCCGGCGUUUCUUUGUGAUGUGCAGUCUCUCCCAGGAGCACGAGAAAGGCUGGUACUUGUUCCGGCCCAGGCGGGACAGCUCCGGCUUGCGCUUCCGGGGGUUGCUGAAGCCGGAUUCCAAUCCCAUCAUGCGCUGGAAACACGAGUUCUUCUUCCUCUCGUCGCCGGAGCCGUGGCCUUGCGCUGUGGAGUGGCGCGUUCGGUCCAACCGCUCCUCCAACUACCCGGUGCUCACCGUUGAGGAAAGCCAGUCGAUGCUGAAACUGCUAAGUGCUCACGGUGGCGCCGCUGUUGAUCUCAGGAACCUGCUCCCUGCUACUUGCUCAAGGCCGCGCAGCAGCCGUCUCUGCAACAGCAACCUUGCUGCCGCAUCCCCGCUGCCGCCGCCGCCGCCCUCUUCAAUUCGUAUUACCUCAUGUUCCAAAAUCGAAAUCUCUCUGAUUCCCCUGUUUCAUCGAGCCCUUAGAUGCUGUUGCGUGCUCUGCUAUCUAGGUAUGGAUCUCUCCGUCCAUGACAUGAUGAAGACUGUGAUGGCGGAGAAGGCGGCCGCGCAAGCGUCGGCGUCGCCGAAGAAGAGGACUUGGGAGGAAGCCAACAGCGGGCAGGAGGUUCAGCCAGAGCAUUUCGCCAGCAGGUACGACAGAGAUACCACGAAGGCUGCACGGGAGCUGCUGGAGCUCGCGUCUGCGGCGAACGAGCCUUCGAACGAAGCAGCGACUCGGCAGGUACUGCCAGCAAAUGCCAUGGGAAAUCGUUUGAUUGGUAGGUGCGUGUCGGGAGAUCAUAUUGUUUGUGCUCACUGCUCAGGCUGCGAACUACGCGCUCGAGCUAGAGCAGAAGCUGGUGGCCAGGGAGGACGAGGCCGCGGCGCUGCGGGAGCAGCUGGAGGAGGCGAAGAACGAGCUCGCCGCGGCGAAGAGAACGGCGGAAGCGGAGCGUGAGAUGGCUAAGUCCGAGGUCGCCGCGGCGAGAACAGAGCUGGAGACGACCAAAGCCGAGCUCGCCGCGGCCAAGCGAACGGCGAAGGCGCAGGUGGCGAAGACGAAGGCCGAGCUCGCCGUAGCAAAGCAAGCGGCAGAGGCCGCGGUGGCGAAGACGAAGGCCGAGCUCGCCGCGGCAAAGCAAGCGACAGAGGCGACAGAGGCCGAGGCGGUGAAGACGAAGGCCGAACUCGCCGCGGCCUUGGCGGAGGCGGUGAAGACGAAGGCCGAACUCGCCGCCGCGAAGCGAGCCACGGAGACAGAGGNNNNNNNNNNNNNNNNNNNNNNNNNNNNNNNNNNNNNNNNNNNNNNNNNNNNNNNNNNNNNNNNNNNNNNNNNNNNNNNNNNNNNNNNNNNNNNNNNNNNNNNNNNNNNNNNNNNNNNNNNNNCGAGGCGAACCGCACCGUGGAGGAGGAGCUGGUGAAAGCCAAGGCCAAGCUGGCCGCGGCGGAGGCGGAGCUGGUCAGCGCCAAGUCGGCGGCGGCGGUGCAUGAGCUUCUGGCCUCCGAGGAGAACGUGCGGCGGCGCGCGGAGCUCGCGUUGGAGGGGUACGAGCGCUGGCGAGGCAGUCACGCUCCGGCUGGUCGUGCCGCCUGAGUAGCUCGAUGAUCGUCUUUACUCUUUUUUGGAAAUCACAUUGCUUGAUCAACUCUAUGCAGAACGAUUCUAUUGGGAUGUCACCAAAUUUUUUAGCUGUAGUGUCCUCAGAUCACAUAUACAACUCAGCAGCAACUGCUACGUGGUUUUGUUGUUAAGAGCUUCAACGGUCUUUAUAUAUUUGUAAUGACUUGCUAUUCUAUAAAUUUUGAUCAGAAAACCUCCUUUAUAUAAAUGGUCCUUCAUUAAUUUUUUUACAAAGUUUAAUAUAUUUGCACCCACACUUUGCAUAUUUAUCAAGCCAAAGGCCAUAUUAUAAAUUAUUAUCAAGCCUCCUAAAGCCUUACUUUGUCUCAAUCACUGAUGGGUACGUGUACUAGUAUGAGUGUUGCGUGUGUAUGCGCAUGUGUACGUGUAUGUGUUUUUUUGUCUACGUGUACGCAUGUGUGCUGCAUAUAUACGUGUAUGUGUGUGUGCAUGUAUACGUGAACGCGAGUUGUGCAAUGUGUCUAUGACAAAUUCUACCACAUCAACAUGUUUGUUAGUCUCAAGUACUCCCUUCGUCCCAAAAUAACUGUCUUAACUUUGUACUAGAUCUAAUACAAAGUUGAAUUAAGCUUCAAACAGUUAUUUUGGAACGGAGGGAAUACAUGAUAUUAACUUGUGUGUGUUCAGCACACAUUUACUCUCUCCGCUCUAAAAUACUCUCAAUGUACCUAAAUAGUUGUAGUUAGGAAUAACUAAUCUAUUUUUCCUCAACUACAAGUAUGUAGAAAUGAAAAGAGUAAGUUUUUUUUUUCACUACGAACUACAUACAAAUGUAUAUAAGUGUAAAUUCACUCAUUUUACAUCUAUGUGGUUACUAAUGAAAUCUUUACAAAAACUUAUAUUUAGAAAUUAAGGGAGUAUGAAGCUGCAAACAUCUUAGCACUUGUGUUUUGUUCUUGGAUCGAUAUAUUGGUUUCGCUAUCGGAUUGGUAAAUCUUAAUCGAGCAAGACUUCACCAAAUCUUGAUCCAUGCUAUAUUUAUGGCAUCUUAGAUGGACAUUCGUGCAAAACAUUCUUUUUUUUUCUUACAUGUUAUGUCACUUAAUUUAGACUUAGUUAAAUCGUCUCAGUCGACUGAGACAUCUAUAUCUUUUCUGCUAUAUAUAUUAGGCACCUUAAAUUUUUCUAUCUUUCAGUCAUAUCUACAAAAGUCAAUUCCUGUUAUUCAUUUGUUUGGACUGGAGUUUUCGAGGCCAAAAACGUUCACUUUUUUAGAACAAAGGUUCAAAGAGAGCUCAAUUCUGAGUAAACAAAGCCAUCCCCUUUUUUCACUUUAAAUUGGUCCAAAUAUGCAGAAUUUGGCCAUGAAUUACAUUGAUCCAAACCAAGAAAAACUGAAUAAAAAACUGAAAACGUCAGAUACGAGGCGCUGCCAAAUCAGCUUACAAGCACCUCAACAACAAGAAUAAGGAUAAACAAUUAAUAAACUCACUUGAUGUGGAAGAAGCCCUUCUACGUGCUUCAAUCACCGAGGACAUGACAGCAAGCACACUUCAAGACGAUACACAUCACACAACAGCGAUGGACGCAGGACACACCCUCAUCUUUGUUUGGUUAGGAGGAUUAGGAGGGAUUUCACUGAAUUUUCCUCACGUGGGCCACAAACCUCGCAAAACCCCGAGGGUUCGUUUGGUGUGGGGGUUUCCUCGGCCCAAUCCCUCUCUUACCCCUUUGUUCCCUCGCUUUUCACGCGCUUCAGAACCCUCGAGGGUGGCCUCGUGGAUUCGUCGCCCGACCCCUCCUCUACACGCUGCCAGCCACCACCGCCGUCAUCCGACUCCUCCCCGACACCCCGCCGCCCGACCCCUCGAUGCCGGCGAACUCCUCCGGCGACCCCAGCUGAAUUUUCCCCCGGUCGUAAGUCAUUCUCGCCCCUCCCCUCCUCCCCUCCUCCCCCUACAUGUUAGUCAGGGUAAGGUGCAUAAGACAUUGAUGAAGUCAAUAUGAGCUAUUCCCAUAGAAUGAAUUAACUUGUACUAAUUGCUUUGUGAGUUUGAUUAUGUUAGUAAUUAUGCAUUUCAAGUUCCACAUUCUCGUCAUGACUGUUCAAUGGACACUGCUUUGCAAAUUGAAUAUUAUUGUUUGAUUGAUUGGUUCUGUAAUGUGUUGUUCCUGGACCUACUUGUGCUGAGCUUACAGUUGAUCAACAUGAUGUCUGUUUGUUUGGUCGAUAUUCCUUUCAUUUGGUUAGUUGGUUAGAGGCAUGGUAACAUGUAGUGGUAUCUACCGAAAGAACUUCAGAAUUUUUAUCAGGUUGUCCUAACUCGAGCUUCCGGUUCGUGCAGAUGCACAAGCCAGUGACUGCUGAAGACAUGGCUAACAUGUCAGCCAGGCAGAAUCAGAACAGUUGACCAAGAUUCAUUACAUAGUGAAUCUGUUAUUUAGUUCCAGCAGGUGCAUCAUCCCAAGAACCAUUCUAACAAGCAAUCUACUACUCCAAUGAACUUGGAAUGUCGGAAUUGUAACAGUAGUCAUUAGUGUUGGAGAGUGUUUGCCGCCCUGUUGUUCUUGAAGAGGUAAGUCCUGCACUAAACGUACUAGUAUUGAUUUUCAGAACUCAUGUGCUCUUUCCUGUUUUACACACCAGCUCGUGUCAGGCUAUCGAUACAUGUAAUGUUGUGAAUUAGUUACCAGUGAUAACUUUUUAGUUGUCAUGUCUUAAUAUGAUGUUGGAAAAAUUACAUUUGUUUUAAUAUGAUGUGGAAAAUUAUCCCCUGUAGCAGUUCAAAUUUUUAUUUGGAGACCUUUAUAAUUUUGUAGCAAACUCUUCUUGAUAAAAGAUUACAUUUUUAGAUGUUUCACAAUAUUGCAUUCCCUACCUACCAAACGUUUGAUUCCUAUAGAGAGGAUUGUGAUUGGAGGGGUUUGAGGGGUUUCAAGUGGAUUUGAGGGGAUUGGGUGGAAGAGGGGGAUUCACCAAAUCCCCUCAAAUCCCCUCCCCUCAAAACCCCCUCAACCCCUUCCUACCAAACGAGGCCUUAAGGGGAAAGGGGCCUAUGUGACUAGGGUUGAGUCGUCGCCCGCGUCACCCUGAGCGGAGCCAAAGCGGGGGCCUUUCUCUGAGUAGUAUAUGUUCUCCAAUCGUCUACUUUAUUGAUCAAUAACAAGGUACAUAAUGAUACAUUGAAUAUCAGGAGGCUGGUUAAGCCAAAUAUGUCUACUACUAGCAAGAGUAAGAGCAAACUUGGUGAAGCUAUGUGCCUCUAUAUUUGACUCACAUCCCUAAAAGAUGAAGGAGCACGACUUGAACUCCCUUUCAGUUAUCAGAAUUCCUCGAAUAAUGCUUGCAUGUUCCCCUUCAACAGCUUGAUUGAUGUCUUGAACAACUUCUUUGUAGUCAAAUGCAAUAGUUAUAUUACUCAAAUCCUUUGCUAGAGCGAAAGCAAAGCUUUGAGGGUAGCACGUUCAGUCACAUUUGACAAUUGAUGGUUGGUGCUCCAGGAUAUGUACCUUCCGAGUCCCUGGAAACAACACUAAAAGAGGCAACAUUCGAGGAUAUAGAUUUCGCCCAUCCACCCUGAGUUUUGCAUGACCCGUAGCUGGCAGAGAUCAACGUGUCCUCCUCGGUGGAAUGUUUUCCCUUCAUGGGAUCGAAGGUCUCCUUGGUUUUGCAGCUUCUAAUUCUUAUAGAUAUCACAUAAUGAACUUGUGUGUCGUAUCAUGACUUUGAAAAACAUGUUCAUGUAUGGCCUUCGUUCGCAUGUGCCAUACCGCCCAUGGUGUUACAAGAAAUGUCAUUAAUCUUUAUGAGGCAUCGACUCCAUCAGCGUGAAUAUCCAGCGUUUUGCUUCGCAUGUGCCAUACAAACCAUAGUACCGCUAAUUGGGGAUGGUAGUACCGUUCCGGUGGCACUACCGCUCUAGUACAUGUGUACUCACAGCCAACGGCUGAGACUACCGCACUAAGCAGAAGUAUCGCUCCUUCGAGCGGGAGUACCUAAGGAUUAUUGGGGAGCAUUGUGCCUCCACAUCGCUCUAACGAUACCGCCUUGAAGGACACCACUACUGGGAUCACGACAUCUUGCGUUUUACGAGGGCGUGAGGAUAAUACAAUGGCCCUAAGACUUAUUGGGGAGCAUUGUGCCUCAACAUCGCUCUAACGAUACCGCCUUUAAGGGCAUCACUACUAGGAUCGCGACAUCUUGCGUUUUGCGAGGCGUCAGGAUAAUACAAUGGCCCUAAGGCUUAUUGGGGGAGCAUUGUGCCUCCACAUCGCUCUAACGAUACCCUCCUAAAGCAAGGGAACUUCGACUCAACUUAUGGUUACUUGUAACCUUUACUUUCUACUUACUCGUGUUGUUGUUAUUAUGCUCAUAAUAUAGGUUGUCCACCUAGUUGUAUAUCUAGACAACAUAUUUUGUUGUUAAAUCUAAUUUAUUAAAAGAAGUUAGAAAUUAAUAGUUUCCUAUUCACCCCUCAUCCUCUAGUCAACCAUAUCGAUCCUUUCACCAUCACUAUUGCAAAAAGGCAUUGCAUUUCGCAAGCAUGCAUGCCCCAUGUCAAUGCACUUGCUCAUGCAUUGUAUAUAUGUAGCUAGGGGUGUGUUAGUUAAUAAUGAAUUAGUGGUUUUCUUUAUUAACCUUUAAUAAAUAAGAACAUAAAAAUAAAAAAUCACACAUUUUACUUAGAAAUUAUGGGUUCUUAAUAUGCAAGAACAUGCAUAUAAUAGUGGGGUUUUUUUUCAAAAAAGGGAAGAUUCUAAGAAGGAAUAAAUUAGUAGCAUUAGUGUUACCAUUAAAGAAAACUAAAACUAAACCAAACUCAAAAUAAUGAAGUUUCCAUAAAAAAGAAUGAAUUAGUGGCUUUGGUACUACUCUUUAAGGAAAACCUUAAAAAUAAUAAUGGAGUUUUGUCUAAGAAAGAAGGAACUUGUUCCUUCGUUUUACCCUUAAAAAGAAAUAAAAAUAAAAUAAAAACUAAAACAAAAUCACAAUAGUGAAGCUAAAAAGAAUGAAUUAUUGGUAUUGAUAUUAGCCAUAAUGAAGUAAAAUAAAAAAUAACCAAAAUAAAAAAUAAUGAAAUUUUAUAUGAAACAGUGAAUUGGUGGCAUUGGUAUUACCCAUUAAUAAGAAAUAAAUAAAUUGCACACCACUUUGCACUGAAAUUGCAUUUUUGCGAAAUGUAGAGAAAAUCACAUAUAGUUAAAAGGGAAAAAGAGAAAAGGAAAACAAAUAAAAAAUGAACAAGAACAAAUGAAGAGAGGAGAGAGCUGACUCGCACAAGUAAUGUGCUUCAACCCAUGAAGGAAUUGAUUGACCCAAAUAUAAGGUCUACUAAAACAGAAAAAACAACUCACAAAAUAAAACAUUAAAAAAGGAGCACGAAACUUAAAUCAAAAAAUCACAACCAAAUCCAAAAAUCAAUUUUUAGGCGAGUUACAUAUAACAAAAGUGAUGCCAAAAUUACACAUGCAAGAAACGACUAAAACUAUAAAGAAAAACAAAAGCAAAAAACACAUACGAACAGAAAAGCAUGCAUUGUGUAACACGCUUCACGACCAAUAGGAAAAUAGACAUACCCCGANNNNNNNNNNNNNNNNNNNNNNNNNNNNNNNNNNNNNNNNNNNNNNNNNNNNNNNNNNNNNNNNNNNNNNNNNNNNNNNNNNNNNNNNNNNNNNNNNNNNGAGCGUGAGCGGCGCGGGUACGAACACGGCCUGGAGGACAUGAAGCGCGCCGCGCUUAGCCGCUACCCGUACCUCGACCCGGCGCGGCUCGUCGUGCCGCUCUGACUCUGAUCGCCAUGCAUGCCCGAUCUGCUAAGCUCUCGCUUGAGACGUCUGUCAUAUAUAGCGUUCCUCAUCUGCAUUUCACGCUUUUUGUUGGAUUGGAUCUCCAUAUAAAUUACUCCCUAGGUUCCUAAAUAUAAGUCUUUUUUUUAGAGAUUUCACUAGAGGCUACAUACGAAGCAAAAUGAAUGAAUCUAUAUUUUAAAGUAUGUUUAUAUACAUCCGUAUGUAAACCUUUUAAUGAAACCUCUUAAAAGACUUAUAUUUAAAACGGAUGGAGUAUUAGGACCUGUGUUCUAGACCUACUUUGCCAAGUUUUUCGUUGGAUUAUACUACCAGUAUUAUCUAAUUUUAACCAAAUUUUGUAAGGAUUCUCAAGCCCAAAUUUUUCUCCCAGUAAGGACCAAUUUGUUUUGUGAGAGUACUACAUACUGGAAAUUAAUGUGGAAGGACGCCAUUCAAUACUAUUACUAUCAUGUAUUAUACUCCCUUCGUCUCAAUUUUUUUUGUCUUAGGUUUGUUCAGAAAUGGAUAUAACUAUAACAUGACUAGAUACAUUUAUAUUUAGAUAAAUCUAAGACAAGAAUUUUAAAACGAAAAGAUUAUAUAUGUAGUUAUUAAAGGGCAAAAUUUUAAAUUCAAAUUAAGUCUGAACCACACAGCACAGGGAUCACAUCAACGUUGGAUUGCAUGCCCAUGUACGAUCACAACCGAAAGAAGGCAAGUAUGCUUAGUCUUUACGAGGGCAGUACUACACGUCGGCGCGAAUGCUUGCGCCGGUAGCAGCGUGAUCAUCAGAUCUGCGGGACGUACCGUUACAUCUAUUCAUGCAAUAUCUUUUUCUUGAUGCAGCAAAUUUCGGCACGAUGCAGCAAUUUUUGUCAACGGUUGCAACAAAAAAAUAAUUGUAGCAAAAAAAAAAAUCUACGCGAUUGUAACAAAAAACGAAAUUGAUGAUGCGUGGUAGUAAAAGUCAAACGCCUGUUGUAGCAGAUAUCUACGUGAACGUGUAUGCAACUUUUUUAGUGAACGGUUGCAACAAAAAAUGAUGCCGAUUGUAGCAAAAAUUAACACGGUUGUAGCAAAAGUCAAACGACGGUUGUAGCAAAAGUCAAACGACGGUUGUAGCAAAAAUCCAACAAACUCGAGUUGCAACCAAGCGUGGAUGUAGCUUUUUGAAUGCACAAAAUGUAGCAAAAUGACAAACGUUUGUAUCAAUUUUAUACAUGGUUGCAGCAAAUCUGAGCGAAAUAAAUGUUGCAUGGCUGCCUGCGAGGCGCGCGGGCCGCGAGCGACCGGCCGAAAGAUUCGGCAGGCGCUCCGGCUGCAAGCAUUUCCCUUUUUACAAUCCCCAAUCGAAAAUAACAUCACUGCAGUAGUCCGUACAAUUUUUGCCCUACCGAACAGGCAACUCCAAUUCUCCGCUCCCCGAUCAAGGUCUCGUCGUCGCCACCGUGAAGACCACAUCGGCGUCCAUCUCCUUGUCGUCCUCACUCUUCGCCGUUGCCAACUUAUUUUCCUGCCGCUGCAACAUUUGGUAGCGGACAAAUUGCAUGAUUAUUCUUGCGUCGACUCCAAGGAGUACAAAUUCAAGGUUAACUUCUUGCCUCCCUCGGCAUUGGCGGCGAUCUUCUUCUUCUUUCCCUAGAUCGUGGCCUUCCUGUCUUCGAUCAUGGUAUGCCGCUUUUUGAGCUUGAGCCUCUUGUUCGUCGUCUCCAUCAAUAAUUUGAACCUCUCCUCCUUUUCCUCCUCCUUGAGGUCCGACCGCUUGGCAGGCCUCGUCCUACUUCGCCAAGAUGUCCUUGAACCUCUUCGUGAGCUUGGUUGUUGCACCUUCUCGCUUCGCCCUCUCCUACCAUUCCCCCCCCCCCCCCCNNNNNNNNNNNNNNNNNNNNNNNNNNNNNNNNNNNNNNNNNNNNNNNNNNNNNNNNNNNNNNNNNNNNNNNNNNNNNNNNNNNNNNNNNNNNNNNNNNNNNNNNNNNNNNNNNNNNNNNNNNNNNNNNNNUUGGGUUGGUAGGGUCACCGGUUUCUUCAAGGUUGCUUGGGAGGCGCUCUUGGCUAUGAAAAUGUUUCACCUUUAUUGCCAUUCAACUUCAACCAACAAUGCAUGACGGUGAAGCUUUUCCUGUUGAACUUCUUGUACACCAAACAAGCACGAGAAGGCUACAGAACAAUUCAUUCCCGUCUAGUGAGCACCAAAACUAAUCAUAUCCGAUAGCGAGCAUCAAAUCAAUACAUGUACGGCUAGCCAGCAACAAAACUAGCAUAUCUAGCUAGUGAGCAACAAAUCUNNNNNNNNNNNNNNNNNNNNNNNNNNNNNNNNNNNNNNNNNNNNNNNNNNNNNNNNNNNNNNNNNNNNNNNNNNNNNNNNNNNNNNNNNNNNNNNNNNNNUUCCCGCAGGGCACGCCGCAGCGUUCUUCCCCCCGCCGGCUUCUGCCACGACCCGCGUACUCCCUCACCCACGUUCAACGCCGGCCUCAACACCCAGUAUAGCCACUCGUCAUCGACAUACUAGUUGGUAGCCUCGCCUGCACCAUCUCUGCGCCGUGGUGUUCUUCUAUUCGCGCCCACUUCGUCGGUGCAGUUUAAUAACUACACCAACGCCGACAUGGAUGAGAUCAUCAUGAGCAGCUAUGUCAUGCCGCGUCGCACCCGGAGUACGACGUGCAUGAUGAAACAAUGGACACCAUCGGCGACACUGACGACAAGCUCGACAACGUCGAAGAGGAGGAGGGAGAGGAAGAGCUGGCGGAGGUGGAACCAGAACCAAUGUCGAAGAAGAAGGGAGGGAAGAAAAGCGGGCGACGAACGCCAAGCCAGCCGAACCAUGCGUUAAGUGGAUGUCAAAGGAAGACGAGUGCCUUGCGGAAGCAUGGAAGACCGUCAGCAUCGACCCGAUCACCGGCGUGAAUCAGAACACCGCCACGUACUAGAGGAGAAUUAAAACGACAUUCGACAAACGCAAACUGGUCAACCCCGACUUCACCAACAUCCACAUAGACCACGGCGAGAAGGCCAUGUUGAACCACUGGUCGACGAUCCAGACAGCCUGCAACAAGUGGCAUGGGAUCGUCGAGGAGGUCGCUCCUCGCCCAGAAAGCAGCGCCAAUGUCGAGGGUCAGGUAUGGACAUUGUUCGACGGCCCUAGUUCGUCACGCCGUCGUGUACUUUGCCGACAUGUUUUGUCCGCGAUUGUGUAGAUGUUUCGGAUGUUCGCCAUGUAUCGUGCUGACAUCGAGGACCAAGAGUUCAAGUUCCUCCACGUGUUCUGUCCGCGGUUGUGCAGAUGUUUCAGAUGUUCUCCAUGAAUCGUAACGGAGAGAGUGGCCAUUUCCUUCUAUGGAAGGACUACUUUGACACAAACAAUCCACUCUUCAAACAUUAGAAAUUCCGGCGUCGUUUCCGUAUGGCUAGGCAUGUUUCAACCGGAUUCGAGAUGGGUGGUCGGAUAUGAUAACCACUUCAAGUGCAAAGAGGAUGACAUUGGAAGGAUUGGCUUCUCAUCUUAUCAAAAUGCACUGUUGCUAUCCGAAUGCUUGCUUAUGGAGUACCCGAUGAUCUUAUCGAUGAGUACGUCUGUAUGAGUGAGUCUACAUGCCUAGAGCCGUUAUACAGAUUCUGCAAGGCCGUGAUUGCAGUGUCUGGCCCUGAGUAUUUGAGAGAGCCAACUGCUGCACACACAGCCCGCUUGCUGGCGACCAAUGCGAGACGGGGCUUCCCAUGGAUGCUUGGCAGUGUAGACUCCAUGCAUUGGGUAUGGAAGAACCACCCUUUUGCUUGGCAAAGCCAGUACAAGGGCCAUGUCAAGGCUUGCACUGUCAUACUUGAGGUCGUGGCAUCUCAAGAUCUCUCGAUCUGACAUUCUUUCUUUGGCAGUGUCGGAUCGCACAAUGAUAUCAACGUGCUUCAUUGAUCGUCGGUGUUUCUAAGGCUUACCGAAGGCAACAGCCCGCCGGCCAAUGUUAACAUCAACGAUCCCAACUACAACAAAGGAUACUAUCUAGCUGACGGAAUCUAUCCACAGUGGACCACUAUUGUGAAGACAAUCUCCAACCCGAUCGGAGAGAAGAGAAAAAGAUUUGGUCAAGAGCAAGAGAGUGCUAGAAAGGAUGUCGAGCGUGCCUUUGGUGUUCUGCAAUCUUGAUGGGGCAUAGUUCGGUAUCCUGCUAGACCUUGGAGCACCUAGAAGUUGUGGGAAGUGAUGACUGCUUGUGUGGUCAUGCACAAUAUGAUCGUAGAGGAUGAGCGCUCGGAAUGUCUAGGCAAUCAAGGGUUUGAAUUUCAGGGUGACAAUGUGGUGCGUGAGCAUGGCGGAGAAGCGGUAUCGUUUGCACAGUUCACCCAACUUUAUCAUAAAAUGCGUGAUUUAAAAACUCAUAUUCAGUUGCAAGAUGAUUUGGUUGAGCAUAUGCGGGAUCAUGUUCACAAUUAAUAGGUGUAUUUUGUAGACAAAACAAUUUUUAUUGGACGUGUAAAACUUUGAUAUAUUUUAUUUUGAUUAUAAAAUUGUGCUAUAUCAUUUGUUGUUGCAAAAUAUGCAAAAUAUGCAAAAUAAUUAUAUUUGUUCAAAACCCGAUGGCUAGCCGGUCAGGCGGACAAAUAUGGAUCAGCGUGUUGGACACGCUGCCGACCCAAAUCAUAACCUGGACGGACAGGAGUCUGCUUUUCGUCCGUUUGGGUAGACCGGUAGGAGUUGCUCUAAUAUAUAUGGUCUAUUACGAUGUGUAGUUGAUUAUGAUUGUAUAUGUCUCCUUCUGUCUAGUACAUAAGCUUACUUAGUGUAGGCGGUACGUGGUGUGCUGGCGGUGAAGGGAGUUGUUGGUUGAGUCAUCAUGUUGUACAUCGCAGUGUUGGAGGAGAAAUGAUGACGUGCGAUACGCGUUCUUGUUCGGCCCAGGUGUGUCAUGUGCGUUUGUGCCGGACCUGAACGCACCGGCCCUCCUCGAAUUUCGGCGGGGGAGCUGCUACGGCGAGGGGAUCAGCUGCUGUUGAAGGAUGUUUGCGACCACACCAUGGAUGUGCGGGGUUGGCACGGUGACAUAGGGUUUGUACCACGUGACCACGCUUAUGUUAAAAGAGUGUAGUUUAAAAAAAAUGUUCCAAGUUUAAUAAGAAAUGUUCAAACAUUACAAAAAUGUCAUGUCUUUUAAAGGUGAAGAAACAUUUAUGCUUUCCCCAUGCAUCAUCAUUCAUGACUAAUUGCAGGCCCAUGAAAGGAAUUGCUUAACAAAAAGGCCCAGCAGAUAAAUCAGAAGAAAAAAAGUUAAAAAAAAAGGGAAUGGAGAUGCGGGGGAUCGAACCCCGUGCCUCCCGCAUGCAAAGCGGGCGCUCUACCAUUUGAGCUACAUCCCCAAUUAUGAUCUCGUUCAUAUAAGCCACUUAUUUGUCUUAAUCACCGUUAGGCAACCUCUCAAUCUCAAAUCUACUAUGGUGCGUACUCCGCUGGUGCCAUCGAGCAUGUAUCCCCUGAUUAAUAAUCCUAAUCUUAAUCGCAAUGCUCUGCUCUGCUCUGCUCUGGCGGUGCCAUGAAGUAUAGCAUGCCGACGAACGGACGGAUUUUGAAAAGAAUUCAAAACGGAGCAGCACACAACGCGCAGGAUGGAUGGAUGGAUGGUGCGUUGCGUGUGGUCUUUCGGUCAAGAGCAGGAGACCAGGCGGCGACGAGAAUGGGAAAAGAGCAGCACGGUGACGGAUGGAUGGGGCUGCCGUGUCAGGCUCAUGCUCAGACCGGAGGACGGAGGCCAGGGGGCGCGUGUCGGCCUCCCAUUGCGUCUCCCACCUGCAGACCCCCCCCUCCCCCUCCCUGCUUCUCUCCCUCUCUCUCUCUCUCAUUGCGUUCCAUUUCAUUUCGACCACUCCACUUCCACAACCCUCCCCUCCAUCCCACUCCCACCAGAGCACAGCACACCGAGCACACAUUUCAAUACUACGGCACUUGUAUGGUAUGGUAAUAUGGUUUUGCUGUUCUCGUCCAGAUCAUUGGACAGUAGACCAAUCCUCCGCCACUCUUGUAGGAUGUACUACGUACGGGAACCAACCCACCCCUGGCGUAGGCAGGUCAGAGCUUGCCCAGUACAGUAGUACCCAGGUGCAGAGACCAGAGAACAGACAGAAUGCUCAUUUCCAUUUCUGUGCAAAGUCCAUUGUCGUGGGUCGCCAAAGCAUGGACUGACCGGCAGCACCAACCGACCUGGACCGCGUGGGUCCUCCAGGCUACGUGUCGACCGCCCAGCCCCUGUGCACUGCUACUGUACCUUCUCUUUUAGGAAGACGGACUCUCUGAUUGUUGUCAUUGCUGCUCACAGACACACGCACACACACACUCAACAGGUCGGACAGCAAACCCUAGGCACAGUUUGUGCGAAAAUGCAUCUGAUUUUUGUUUGCGUCACUGGAAAUAUUUCCUAGGGAAACAUUUACUUUUAAUUUAAGCGCUGGCACCUAAAAUUCACUCUAGAAAAACACAACUCAAUCGGUUUUGUGCAAAAAAUAAAUAAAUAUUAUAUUCCUCCAUCCGAAAAAUACUUGUCCUAGAGAUGAAUGUAUCUAGACUUAUUUUAGUUAUAGAUACAUCAAUUAUAUUUAUUUUUGGGACAAGUAUUUUCGGACGGAGGGAGUAGUUCCUUUAUUUCUAAAUAUAAGUUUUUUAGGGAUUUCAUUACAGACUAAAAAUAUUUAUAUUUAAGAACAAAGAAAGUAUGUAUAAAAAACAAAUCACCUUUUUUGCUUCGUAUGUACUCUUUGAGUUCCUAAAUAUAAACUUUUUAGAUGUUUAUUAAAAAACUACAUACGAAUGUAUAUAGACAUACUUUAUGUGUAGAUUCAGUCAUUUUACUUCGUAUGUAGUUUCCUAAGGAAAUCUGUAGAAAUACUUAUAUUUACGAACAUAGUAGUCUGUAAUAAAAAAAUUAAGAAGACUUAUAUUUAAAAACGGAGGGAAUAGGCAUAAAAAGUAAACCAUCUUUUUUGCACGUGCACUUAGGUGAAAAACAAACAAAAGCCGAAAUUCUUUGACGUGAAGAAACUCAUCUAGAAUAGAAGGUGUGAAUGAAAGUGGAGCAACAUUGCAUCACAUUCAUGUUAAAAACUCUUAAUUAGAAUCCCUUCAGCAAGUUUGCUUGUGAAGAAAUUUGUCCCUGCAUAUUGUUUAUUAUUCAAUUCUCGUGAUCCAACAAAAUCACCAAGGCUUUUCCAAAAUUCAUUUACUUCUAAGGAUCACCCAUUAAGUGGUAGAUAAAUCGGGUCUAGUUCUCCCUCAAAGUACAUUAUGAAUACAUAUUCAUGAUGGAUAUAUUAAUAUUUAUUUGGUAUUGUAAAUGUUCAUAUAAUUUUUCUAAUCUUGGUCAAACUUAACAAAGUUUGGCAUAAGGCAAAACGUACGCGGCCUCAUCAUUUGGAAAGGAGGGAGCAAUUUAUAACAAAACUUCACACCUACUCCCUCCAUUCCUUAAUAUAAGUUUUUUUUAAGGUUUUAUUAGGAGACUACAUACGAAAUAUAUAUAGACAUGCUUUAGGUUAUAGAUUCACUUAUUUUGUUUCGUAUGUACUCCUCUAAUAAAAUCUUUAAAAAGAUUUAUAUUUAAGAACAGGGGAGUAUAUGCUUCUGCUCACAAGGUACAUGCAUGGAUUGUUAUUUUUACACUCCCUCCAUUCAAAACAUAAGAGCAUCUACAACCACGGUUUAUAAAUAUGGGCCCUAAAAUGUCCGCGGACACGUCCGGGCUGUAUACUGGCACUGACUGAUCACCCCUCAAAUAUGUUCAUGCACAUCCAACUCUCUCGUAUUUGAUCUCCUCGAUCCAUUAAAAGCAUGCAAAAGAAAUCCAACAUACUACAUAUUAUCCUAGUCUCCGUCAUCGGAGAUGGCCUCUAGCUAAUCCUUGUCCGCCGCAUCCGCCACAACCCAUGUCGCGUCCAUCUCCUGCCAAUGAAGAUGUCUAGCCUCCGCAGCCGACUCCGAGCGGAUGGAGUUCAGGAUGACCUGCUCCUCCUCCCGCAGACCCACUCCUCCUCCAUCAGCGACGCCUCCUCCUCCGUCGGCGCCUGCUGCUCCUCCCCCACACCUAGCGCCGGCGGCAUCUCCUCCGCAGGCUCCUGCUCCUCCUCCUCUUUAUCCUCCACCAAAUGUUCCUAUGGAUCUAGAGUUAGCUCCGCAGCCCUCCGGAUUCGGACCUACUCGACGAGCCAAUGAGGAUGCUGGAUCGUAUAGUGGCGGCAGCGGCAAACGGGAGGAGGAAAAUGUAGAGGGGUAGGGUUUGGGUGCCGAUACUUGGCAUAAAUAGCUAGGCUAUGAUUACGCGGCCCGCUAGUGUGGCGCCACGCGGCGUUCACACUAUGACGACGGGGGAGGCGUCCAUCGGACCGCCAAAUUUCUGGACGAUUCCGCAUGGGUCCAUGCCGUCAGGCCAACGUGGCAGGCGUAUCCAGACGUCCAUAUCCGCCUCAUAUCUAGACUCGAUAUGACGGAUGUCGGUCGCAUUUGAGGCCGGUUUGAGAGGCCCGGGUGGGUCAAAAUAUCAUGAAGGUCAAUGAUCCAGCAGCUUGCCCGAACGUUUGAGAAGGAUAUGAAGGGUCCAGUUAUAGAUGCUCUAAGGUGGAUAAUAUAAAUGAAGUCAACAUCUAUUUUGGCCACUAACAAUUUAUAAUUACAUGGGUUGACGAACUUGUGGCAAAAACGUGCAUUGUGUACAUAUGUUGACACAAGCAACAUAUGCGCAUCUGAUAUGUUUCUAACUUGAGCUGGUUGUUUUGAUAAAUAAAUGUUUUUGCUCAUUUGAAAUUUUGGUAGAGGCCAAUAGUUUCUCAAAAGGCAGUUUACUUAGAGCAUCUCCAACCGCAGCGUAAAAAAUCCGCGUCCAAUAAAUUUUUUAGCGCGCCACUGUAGCACUUUUGAAGCGCGGGGACCGGAGCAUGUCCAACAGACGCGCGCUAGUGCGGCGCCCAACCCAGUCCGAUCCAGCGGUCCCAUCUGCAGCCGCUCAGAGUUUGCUGCGCGCGAAAGCUGACGCACCAAAUAUGCUGCGCGCGAUAGCGUUUUUGAGCGCGCGCCCAAUUUUUUUUAACGCGCGCAGUGUGCUGGAGCAGUCCGGCGUCCAAAAAACAGAUCUUUUAACGCGCGGAGCAAUUUUUGAGCGCCUGUUGGAGAUGCUCUUAGGCUCGAGAGUAGAUCAAUGCGAGGUGAGAGGAAGAAGAGAAACAAUAUGUAUGAAUUGGAGGAUGAAAAUGAAGCAUUUCAGAUAGGAGAGGGAGAAACCGACUGUCUCUUACAAAUUUUCAUGCAACCGGUGGCUAGCACUCGUUUUUCAAAGCCAUCAUGCUCGACAAGUUUACUUGAAUGAUUGGAAAUACAAUGAUUAAGAUAAGAGGAGAAGAAAUCGACUAUCCCUUACAAAUUUGCAGGCAACGACACCUAGCCGCUCCUUUCUCAAUGCCAUCCAGCCCGACAACUGAUUUGAGAUUGAAGAGUUUGAAGAGUUGAGAUAGGGGAAAUGACUCAACUAACCUUUUCUAAAUUUUCAUGCAACCCGCGGCUAGACACUUCCUUCUCAGAGCCAUCCAGCCCGUCAACUUUAGUUGAAUGAUCUGAUCCCCAAGCAAGCUCUUAUAUAGAUGCCUCAUGAUAAAAAGUAGCUUGAGACAUCUAUUUUUUACUCUAACUUUUUAGCCUUUGUAUUAGACCACACUUCUUUUCCCUCAAGAACCCGCCUCCUGUGGAGGAUUCCCUAAGCCAUCCGAUCGGAUGGCAUAGAAGCGUCAUCCUUUAACGAAAAUAUGGUUGCAUAUCACAAAGAACAUGCAAGUUUGCCUUGCUUUAAGAAAAAUAUGAACAAAAUUGAAGUUCUUUUAUUCUUGUCAAUGUACUCCGAGUAUUUGUUUUGCAAAUUUUAGGCUGUGCUUCGAGUAGCAAAUUAAACAAGCAGUCAUAGAGAAUGAAAGAAAUUUAUAAACUUAGGGGGGAAUCAGCAGGCACACGGAUUGCCCUAAAACCCUUUGCUUUUGCGCACGACGACGAAAAAUGAAGACUCCACUUUCUUUCUUGCCGUCUUGAUCCGCAGCCACACCCAUCCCCCACUACAAGCGCCGCAGCAGAAACCCCAGCCGCCAUGGCAUCCUCCUCCUGGACCUCGGCAUCCUGGUCGCCGGACGCCCUCCUCGACGAACCCACCCACGACAGGGCUCCCCGCGCCAGCGACGCCGACGGAGGCGACGACGACGUCUCGGCCGAGCGGGUCACCUCGCGGCUGCGCAAGCGAGGAGCCCUGAAGAUCCUCUGCAAGAAUUACUCCAUCNNNNNNNNNNNNNNNNNNNNNNNNNNNNNNNNNNNNNNNNNNNNNNNNNNNNNNNNNNNNNNNNNNNNNNNNNNNNNNNNNNNNNNNNNNNNNNNNNNNNGGUCGACGUACACCUACAACCCCAACUACAGCAGUGAGGCGUGCACGGCGUCUCUCCUUCGCCCGGAGACGGCCACGGAGAGCCAUUGCGGCCGGCCGCUCGGUCUGCGGUUCCACCUCAAGUCCGGGUACCUGUACAUUGCCGACGCCUACAAGGGGCUCAUGAGGGUCGCGCCGGGCGGCGGGGAAGCCACUAGCCACCGUGUUGGUCACGGAGAUUGAUGGCGUACCUCUCCGCUUCACCAACGGCGUGGACAUCGACCAAGUCACCGGUGAGGUUUAUUUCACAGACAGCUCCAUGAACUUCAACAGGUCACAACAUGAGAUGGUGACGAGAACCGGAGACUCUUCGGGUCGGCUAAUGAGGUACGACCCACGGACGGGAAAGGCCGUCGUACUCCAGGCAGGCAUCACUUACCCCAAUGGACUUGCCAUCAGCGCUGAUAGGACUCAUCUCAUCAUCUCGUCGACCGGGCCGUGUAAGCUGCUACGAUACUGGAUCAAGGGAUCCAAGGCGGGCACGAUGGAGCUAUUCGCCGACCUUCCUGGCUAUCCAGACAAUGUGAGGCCCGACAAGAAAGGAGGAUAUUGGGUGGCACUACACCGUGAGAAGAAUGAGCUCCCCUUUGGCGUUGAUAGCCAUCUGCUAGCCUUGAGGAUCGACGCUGAAGGGAAAAUAAUCGAGGAGAUGAGGGGGCCCAAGAGCGUGAGGCCGACCGAGGUGGUGGAGAGGAAAGGUGGAAGAUUGUUCAUGGGAUCCGUCGAACUUCGCUAUCUGUCCGUCGUUAUACGCAAAUAGAGAAAUCAAUUAAUAGACAUGUGUAAAUUAAGGAUUCAUCUAGGACAUGCAUCUUUUAAAUUUUUGGGUAUGACUUUGUUUUGACUGGUUUUAUUUGUAAGACUAUUAGUCUAUUAUAUUAAGAAGAGUUUUCUAUUCUACGGUGUUCAUGUAUUUUUCAAUGUAUAUGUAUGGAACAAUUUUUUCUGUAGGGCUAGAUAACACAAGAUGUGUGAGUUUCAAAGACUGAAAAAAGCAUAAAAACUUGAGAAAUCUUGUAAACAUGCAUAAAACAUACUCCCUCGGUCCCACAAUUCUUAUCUUAGAUUUGUCUACAAAUGAAUGUAUCUAAAUACUAAAACGUGACUAGAUACAUUUAUAUCUACACAAAUUUAGGGCAAAUUUUUUGAGACGGAGGGAUUAUGUAGGAGCAGUGGCGAUUCUAUGUGCAGGCUGUGGGGUCAGCUAACCCCACAGGUUUUUUAUUACACCCUAAGAUUUGUCAAUGUUUAUGCAAAAUAUUAGAGCAUACUAGAUAAUUUAGGGUAUAUGAAUCCACAGGUUUUCCGCGCUGUCACUGCCACUGCAUAGGCGCACGGGUUAACACGCACAGAAACGAGACAAUACAAUCUUGCAGAAACAUAACGACUUUGCAAGAGAAAUUAAAUGUUGACAAAUCAAAAAUCAGCUAAGUGACUGUUAGCAACAUAUAUCUAGGUCAUACUACGGCUUAGGUAACCGUUGGUUUUCUUUAUUAUUUCUAACCAUAAUUCUGAAUUAACUCAUUCACAGAUCAAGGAAAGAGUUGGCCUAAGCCUUUGCGUUGUUACUAAAAAUAAAUAAGAUACAAGUAAUUUGAAGCUUAAUAUUCGGCACACACUUCUACCAUGAUCAGAUAGAUCGUCGAAGAGUAAGGCAAAAGAGGUAAUGGCUAAGAGGAAGAUGAGACAACGAUGGAGGACAAUGUAGUGAAUCAUGAGGGAAUAAGAGACGCUCAAUGGACAAACUAGCUUCCCAUCAUAUUGGUUAUUGGCAUUACGUUCUAAAUACACAUGACGGACCCCCAAUGUGUCUAGUAGACCAUCGCCAUGUUUUUAGCAUACAUGUUUGGAUCGUGGUCUUGUGUUAUUUUGGACGAUUAGCCAAUAAUUCGUCUAGAGUUGCUUAGUCAAUAAAUAUACAUCCAACUAUUCAUAUCAUAUCCUUUUCACCUGUUGGAUUACACAUUGAACCAAACCUGGGCUACGGUGCAGUACGUGUUAUGAACCUAGCAGAGGGGUAUUGCAUGUUAAGUGUUAGUACAUGAUUUACAGGCUAUUCCGUCAGCUACACAUAUACUAAUUGUGAUGAUCUUUAAUGAUAAUAUGUUGUAUUCCUAUACAAGAUCGAAGGCAAUGAAAGACAGCAGUUACAUCCUUAUUAUUUUCAGUUUGCUGAUAACGUACAAGACCAAUUGUCCUGCCCCUGUUUUUUAUACAUCUCCGUGCGAACCCUGCAAAGGAUGGUGAUGUUUCGUAGAGCAGCUGUGCUAUAUGUGAUCCUUGACCAUAUGAAGCUUCUGACGCUUCUGAAGCACUUGAAUCGCCCACGCUGACGGCCCAUCGCUUCUUAUCUGAGCUAAUAAUACAGCGUGACAGCGUCGCUGCUUUAUUAACAGCCGCCGGCUGACGCACAUCGUUGUAGCAGCGGUCAAUUACUGAACCCGUCGGACCAAUCGACAGUCCUCAAUCACUGAACCCGUCACCCCACCUUCGCGUCGCCCUGCAGAAAAUGCCAUGGAUUUUUGUUACGGGAGUAAUGACCCAACCGGGUAGCAUGAUUUGCACAGCAACCAAAACCUAGGUGGGGUUCGAAAAACAUCCAACAGACAGAAACACUCACCACUCCCGAUCCGACGGCGGAAAAUGCUGAUGGCAUGAGAGGGCUGGAAAACCGAAAUGUAAUCUAUAUCGAAACAACCAAAGCAUCUUAUAAUUCUGAACCAAGGGAGUAGAAAUCAUUAUCUUCUUCUCACUGAAACAGGGUGCUCCCUUCCAGUGCAAAAUCAACAUUCAACAACUUGUAAGUAGACAUCCAUCCAGUGCCAAGUGGACAUGUAUGACACAAUCCCAGUAAAGUUCAAGUGCAAGACCAAAUAAUCCCAGUAAAGUUCGAAUAUGAAACACAACAACUUCAUGCACAAUCGACCGAGUCACCUUCAGCGAGAUAGAUGCAUGCUCAAGUAUUAUUUGUCGACAGGCACACCCAUGGAUGUCUGCUUUGAAGUUGCAAUAACAUUCCAGAUCGUCAUGUUUAGAGCCUUUCUGACAUACAUUGAACUUCAAAUGCAUCCAACUAUCCAUCUCUACAGCAAUCACAUAUCUUCUUGUUAAGCCACAUGACUCACCGAUGAUACCACAAAAUAGUUCAAUUCCCUCAUGUGACCCACCAGCAAACACAAACGAGCUCAUAGAUAAACUGAAUCCACUCUGCACUUUUGAUAUAAUAACAUCUAUAGUGGCCUCCACUGCAACGGGGAUGAGUGCUAAAGUGAUGUCAACUGCACCGCAAUCGCCAUUAAUGCGGUUAGUGAAUGGAAGGAAAGGUGUUGUUACUUCAGUCUAUUGCACCGUCAAUUAAUUGUAGAUCAUCUUCUUCCUCUCCUUUCCUGAUCCUCAUGUCAAACUCAACUAGAACAGGAGAGGUCAUUGUGAUUCCCCUCUUAGGGCCAGUCGUCUCAAUGAGAGAACCCUGCAAAACUAUUAUUAACUGGUUAGUGGCUCGUAGUAAAAGUAAAGAGUUGCCUAAAGAGUACAUUAUUCUUUCUAGCCAAUUGACAAAGGAUCACAUUUAAGUGACGGCAUAGAUUAUCAACCCACCUACAAACAUAAGUCGGUUGCACAUGAAACUUAUAAUGUUUGAUAAAACAUGCAAAGAUAAUCAUCCAUAAACUAGCCUAAUAUAUGCAAGGGAGAACACCAUCGUCCAAUAACAUCCCCUCCAAGGCACAUGUAUUUCUACGCAAGAGCCCAUAUCAGAUAAGAUAUUCAAACUGGAACCAUCACCACACCUCAAAUGUUUAUACGAGUGAAGAUAACAUUUCACUUAAAGUUACAACCAGGCAAACAAGAUUUUGUAGUUCAAGGCCUAGAUAUUUGUUGUGUUCAAAUCAUUUGUGACAAGGACAAAAUUAUCGAGUUUGACUUUAUUCAAGGAAACAAAAAGAAUAUGAAUGGUCCAAAAUUAUUGCGUUUGACUUUCAUAAAAUACCUAUUAGUCCCUAGUAGACCAUUCAAUUUCACAUUUAUUUAACCGGUAAUAUCUUUUCUGAGUAACUGUCAUUCUACAAUGUUAUUCUCCAUUUGGUAUCAUAGUUACUAGAUCUUUUUACGGCGAUAGUUACUAGAUUUAACCCCAUGGAAGCAAAUAGUCAUCCAUAACACCAAAAUGUAAUUAAGUAGGUAAAUAUUUAUGUAUUACUAAAUGUUUUGGAACCUGGCUUUCGUCAGCUUCAUCAUUUUGCAUUAGAAGAAUGCUCCACUUCCGUGAGCUGCCGGAUUCGGCCUUGCUCAGCGCAUGGAGUUUGCAAGCGCAGAGCCAAAGGAGUUCGGAACCGAACCUAAGUGGUUGUAGCAUGCCAUAAAAAAGGUUCAUAGUUCAAACCAUCUACUCUAUGCAUGUGCUGAAAUUAACCUUAAACUAUGAAAUGAAUGAACUAUUAAAAAUGACUGUAAGAUGUGAAAUAUGUGCACCUGCUGCACCGUAAUGGGAUCGUCCCUGCUACGAUUGACAAUAUAAUUUAGCAAUGAAUCCAGACAAGCUCCCACAGCUAUAUAUCCAUAUAGUUGUACCGAUCUUGAGUUCACAGAAACUUUAGCCAACUUUAAUGAAAAAAAUUGCAUCAUGUUGCGUACAUAAUGCACAUCACAUCUUUCCCGGUCAGGAAAACAAUCAGUGGGAUCCGAUAACAUCAUUGGCUCCAGUUAUGCUUCAUAAGAAUAUAUAGAUAAAUACUUACCAUAAAUAGUGCAAAUAUGAUUUAUAGGUAGACGUUAGAGUUAAGAUAGAAAAAAAAUGUCUAAUCGAAAUUUUCGUAUAAAAAAUAACAACACAACUACACUAAUCAAAUAAGUGAGGCUCAUAAAAGAAUAAUAUAUGGAAAAAGAAAAACUUUGAGGAGCCAAGCUAUAAGAAUGGAUUUAGAAAUAUCCAAGCUACAAGAACACAUGCUAGAAGUUUCAUUUUGUGCAUGACAAAAUGCAAAAAAAAAAACACUUAGUGGCAACUAAUAGAACAUUCAAAAUCUAUCAAUUAUUCGCAAGCACAACUUUAUCAUAUAUCAUUUACAUUUUGGCAUGAACACAUGAGUUUAUGUGAGAUUUAUUUAUCUAUGUGAGUUCUGAAAAAGAGCAACAGUUAUUAAGAAAAAAUAUAAUGGUAGAUGAAAGUUAACAGAAAAUUAUAAAUUUGAUGCAACUACAAAUUUGUUGGAAGUCAAAGAUGCUCCUAAUACCAAUACUAAUUACAUACACAGAUAAACCUAUUAUAUCUAGCAAGCCUUUUUUUUCUUAUGAUAUGACCAAUUAGUGCUCAGACAUAAUUUUGUCAUUAUUAUGCAUCCUUUUUAUGAUUGAGCUAAUCAACUAACAUGGAAAUAAAAGAUGUUGCAAUUCUGACAAAGCAACUUGAGAAGAAACUUGGACCUCUACUCUGGUGGUGACUCCAUAUAAAACCCUCCACUAAAGCAUCACAUGGACAUUAAGUCACUUAUAUGGCACCUUUUUUAGGGGAACAAAACAGGUCUCUAGAUUUUAACCAUGCACCAUCUAUUAUUUAUCAUAAAAUUUCCGACUACUCCCUACAAUCCAAAUUAUUAGUGUUAGAUACACCCGCUUCUAGAUAAAUCUAAGACAAGUAAUACGGAUCCGAGGGAUUAGCUAUUUUGGAUAGAAGAUGGAAUAUCCUACAUAUAGAUCUACUUUGUGCUAACCAAUUUCACUAGAGCAACCAAAAUUUUACAUUGCAUGUUUCAAAACAAGAUCAUGUACAUUCAACCUCAAACUUUUAACCGACGAAUCAUACGACUUGUCAAAUAUCCCAAAUUAAAGGGAGCAAUACAGGAGAGGGAUUCACAUCACUUACUCUCGGCACGGUUAGUAACACCACAUAUCUUUUGGAGAAAGGAGUUUCUGUAUAUAGACUCGUCGCGAUGGGUGCUAUUAUCAAUGAUGAAGGCCGGUCUUACAUUGACCUUCUCGGUUUCCUUCCUCGUUUUCCCUCUAUUCUUCCCUUUGGUCGUCGCAUAUUGCUCGCCGAGGGUGCAGAGAAAAGCAUUGCCACAAGGGAGGCGGCUCGUCCAAUUCGUUUGGCCAUGUACUGCAAUGCUCCUUGCCAUCAAGAAGGAUCCAUAAGCAGAUCUAUCACCGGAGAGCAAACUUAGAAUCCGAGUCAAAAAAGAUGCAUACAUCAAUACAUGCCAUGCAACAUGCAAGAUAGAAAUCCAAAUCACAUCGUUGGUUUAAAUAUAACAAGCAAUGAGACUUGCAAUAAUAAGAUUCCAAAUCCCAAAGUUGGUUUAGAUACAGAGAGCCAAGAAUCUCCGGAAGGAAAAAACGCACCGGCAAACACGGUCCAGACUCCGCCAUGAGCGUAGCAUCUCGUCGCGCGAGUUCAGGAAGGCCCCGACGAGGCAGGGCAGAGGUGAGCCGAGAGAUAGGGGGAGAGAGGGCACCACUUUGGGGAUAAACGAGGCGGCUGUUGGGGCAUAGUUUAUGCCUAAGUAAUUUUGGUGAUUGAUGACAGUACCGUAAAGGACUAACCGUGUGUGUUAAGGUUUCAGAUAACACACGUCAACGACACAAGACGACUCGCCUCCUCAUUCAUGGAACGGAAGCACGGUGCUCUCUACGAUUCUCUUUAUUUGAGUCAUAGGAAAGCCGUACUAUUAAGAGGGGAACCGUAGUGGAANNNNNNNNNNGCACAAGACGACUCGCCUCCUCAUUCAUGGAACGGAAGCACGACGCUCUCUACGAUUCUCUUUAUUUGAGUCAUAGGAAGUAGAAAGGUUUGGGUGGAAUCUAUCUUUGCACGCGCACACUUCACAUAUUUUCCCUUACCUUCAUCUUUGGAGCGGCCUCCGCCACUGUGUUUCUUUCCUCCUUGCAAAAUGGUCCCCAGCGGUAUUACCGCUGGAAUUGCAGCCAGCGGUAGUACCGCUGGCUGGCGGUAGUACCGCCCCUGGUCAGCGGUAGUACCGCUCCAGGAGCUUAGUAUCGCCUGCCUAGCGGUUGUUCGUGGACGGGCCUUUUUGCGAAGACUUUUUUGGCGGUGGUAGUGCUUUUGCACUAUCCGGGGCCCAGCGGUAAUACCGCUCGGUAGUACCGUCCCUGGUCAGCGGUAGUACCGCUGUGGUGCCAGCGGUAGUACCACUGCAGGCAGCGAUAGUACCGCUGGAGCUCAGGCAGAGAGUGGGAAAACAGUUGGAUUUUUCCCCCACUAUAUAAAGGGUUCUUCUAGUUGUGGAACCUCAUCCCUUAUCUCCCCAAGCUCCAUUGUUGCUCCCUAAGCUCAAAAGUGCCCGAUCUCUCUCCCUAGCCAAUCAAACUUGUUGAUUCUUUAGAGAUUGGUUGAGAAGGCCUAGAUUCACACUUUCACCAAGAGAAAAGUUGAUUCCCCCACCAAUCCCUUGCGGAUCUUGUUACUCUUGGGUGUUUCAACAUCCUAGACGGUUGAGGUCACCUUGAAGCCAUAUUCCAUUGUGGUGAAGCUUCGUGGUCUAGUUGGGAGCCUCCAAACUUUGUGUGGAGUUUGCCCCAACCUUGUUUGUAAAGAUUCGGUCGCCGCCUUCAAGGGCACCUAUAGUGGAAUCACGGUACCUUGCAUCGUGCGAGGGCGUGAGGAGAAUACGGUGGCCUUAGUGGCUUAUUGGGGAGCAUUGUGCCUCCACACCGCUCCAACGGAGACGUACUUCCUGUCAAAGGGAAGGAACUUCGGUAACACAUCCUCGUCUCCAUCGAUUCCACUUGUGGUUAUCUCUAACCUUUACUUUGUAUAUGCUUAUAUUGUUGACUAUAUCUUACUUGUCUUAAUAGCUCUCGUUGUUAGCUCCAUUAGGGUUCAGCUCAUUGUCGUAAUAUUUGUGAACCUAUAUGUUGUUUACCUUAGCUUGCUAAGAUUAUUUAAAAAGUGGUCGUUGUCUAUUCACCCCCCCCCCCNNNNNNNNNNNNNNNNNNNNNNNNNNNNNNNNNNNNNNNNNNNNNNNNNNNNNNNNNNNNNNNNNNNNNNNNNNNNNNNNNNNNNNNNNNNNNNNNNNNNUCGCCCCGAGCACGUCGUCGUCGCCGCCGCCCCUGAUCCAGUCCUUCUCGCCGUCGUCGACGCCCCGAGCACGUCGUCAUCGCCGCCCUCGAGCCCGUCUUCGUCGCCCCGAGACCGUCGUCGUCGUCGUCGCCGCCCCGAGCCCGUCGUGUAUUGUGUUGAGUUUUAUUCAUAUAUUGUGUUGAGUUUUAUUCAUAUAUAUGCAUGUAUUGACCCCUUCUUUAAAUUAGAUCUACGAGAUGCGGGAUCAACUCCUACCAUAUGAUCGCAUACGAGCAAUUCAAGAGGAAUUGGCGGGAUUCUUUGUUGACCACGUCAUACCUAAAGACGGAGAAUGUCACGUGGAUUUGUCAUUGGAUCUUAAUUAGAUGAUGUUUUGGAUUAAUUGUAAAAUAUGUUAUAUUGUAUAUAUGUAAUAGCAUCGGAUAGAUAUACGAAAACUUGUUGUUCGACCAAGCAUGGAGAAACAGAGGACACUUUUCUCUAUUAACUAGCUAACAUAAUAUGAAAACACUAAAUUAACGCUCCNNNNNNNNNNNNNNNNNNNNNNNNNNNNNNNNNNNNNNNNNNNNNNNNNNNNNNNNNNNNNNNNNNNNNNNNNNNNNNNNNNNNNNNNNNNNNNNNNNNNAGCGUACGCGGUUGGGCGGCGGCACGGGCGAGGCACACAGCUGGGCGGCGACGCGGGUGAGGCCAGCCACGGGCGUGGGCGUGCCAUGCGGGCAAGCACGACUGGGCAGCGGGGCGACGAGCUGGGUUGGGCGGCCAUGGGAUCCACCUCCUCCUUGUAUUGCAGAUAGAUGGUUGGAUGGAUGUUCAGACUACAUGCCACUAGUUUCCUCUGUUCUUUCCUUUGUUUUUCCUCCCUCUUUGCAUUUUGAUUAGAGCCUCCAAGUAUUUGUAGAUGGAUGUUUCAGCUUCAGGAAACUUCUAUCAAUUGGUCUUUGUAGUUGCUUGUUUCCUUCUAGCAGUCGGUCUUUGUAGUUGCUUGUACUUUAGUUGCGGUUGCUUUCAUCUUGUAUCAUAUAAUCUGCUGUAUAUGCUUGCCUAGUUCGUGACAACCAGGAAUUUGCUAAGGUUAUGUAUGUGUGCAUAGCUCAGAAACCAGACAAGGUGGAUUGCAUGCAUUGUGUGAUUUAUGUUUGCGUAUAUAUACACAUACUUUUACAAGGCAUAAAUCGUAAUAAACUAUGAAGGUUGCCUAUAUUAAUCUUGAAUUGUACCCUUGUCUA